RNAcentral lists this long non-coding RNA (51435 nucleotides) under Coffea arabica (coffee). RNAcentral describes it as "long non-coding RNA (CARA_LNC003313)". The record is from RNAcentral. Lineage: Eukaryota; Viridiplantae; Streptophyta; Magnoliopsida; Gentianales; Rubiaceae.
AAUAGUACAUGCAUCAGUUAAGAGAACUGAAUAACAGACAAAUAUAAGCUCUAUACAUGGCCCAGUCCUUUUCCUACCUUCAUCUUGUCAUGUUCUUCAUAAUAGUGCUUCUAUCACUAGUAAUGCCUUGUUAUGGUGCUGAUCCAUCUCCAUUACAAGAUUACUGCAUCGCGGAUUUAAGUUCAGAUAUAUAUUUGAAUGGCUAUCCUUGCAAAAACCCUGAUAAUGUAACUGCAGACGACUUCUUCUACGAAGGGUUCAUCAACGAUACCAGACAGUUCGAUGCCGAUGGAAUGAAAGCCUCCGGAGCACAUGUUGACUAUUUCCCGGCGGUAAACACUCUUGGAGUAGCCAUGAUUCAAAUACAGCUUCUCAAAGGAGGAGUUGCUGCCCCUCACACACACCCCCGGGCGACUGAGAUGCUUUUAUUGAUGAAGGGGAAAGUCAUUGCAGGCUUUAUAACCACUGAUAAUAUCUUAUUCUAUAAGACUAUGACCCCUAAAAUGUUGGUUGUGAUCCCUCAGGCUUUGGUGCACUUUGUAUACAAUGUUGGGGAGGGAAGGGCUCUCCUUUAUGCAGGCUACAACAGUCAACAACCAGCAACUCAGUAUAUGGCUCAUGCUCUCUUCAAUUCCACGCCUAGUGUUCCCGAUGGUGUGUUGACGAGAUCAUUCCGAGUAAAUGACUCCAUUGUUGAGCUCAUUAAGUCCAGCCUUUCUGUUCCACUAUUUCCAGAUAUCAUGUCAAACACAUCCUCGGGGAGCGUCAGGCUAAAGUAGGCACAUCUUGGUUCACUUAGUGCUCGUUUGAAGUUGCAGUGAUUUAUCGAAAGCACUUUGAUGUAGUGAAACUUUCAAUUAAAGUACUUAUUAGGUGUUUAAGUGUGUUGGUUGGAUACAUACUUGAGAAUCCACUUAUUGUAUUGAAUAAUGUAUGGUUUUGAACUUUUGAAAUGUGUGUUUUUUUUUUUCCUCUAUUUAGUUAAUAAUUUAUAUUUCAUUUUAUAGAACAUAAAAAUUAUUCUAAAAACACCAAAUUUGAAUCUUCACUACUAAAAGCGCAUCUAACCCUACAAGUCGUAUAACUAAAUUUAUGAAGUAAUGUAUUCUGAUUACAUUGCAACGUUUUAAUAGUUAAAAAAAAAGUUAAAAUCCAUUAUCAAUUAAAAAACUGUUUUCACUGAUUUUGAUUAUUUUCUAUAAUCACUUUCUAUAAUCAAAUUUUAUAAAAAUCUAAACCGAACUAGAACAAGGCCUAUAUACUGUUCAUUAUGACUCCAUAAAGUGAUCAACAAUUUAUUCAGCCAAUCAUCAAUGACAGUUCAGAUAACAUAAGAGCAAUUUAUGCAGUCAUUUUUUUGGAUAGAGUAUUAUUUGAAAUAUUAUUUGGAAUAAUUACUGUAGCACUUUUUGUUAUGUGAUGUAUGUGAGAUAAAAAGGUAAUUAGAAAUAUAAAAAGGUGGGUUGGAAAAUGUAUUUAUGAUACAAGCGAAAUAUUAUAUGAGAUAAUUGUGCUAUCCAAACACUUGUAUUAAAUAGAAAAAUGCAGCAAAAUGCUGUAGACUUAGCACAUGACACAUUUCAUAUCAUGUCAAAUUGAACGAUAGGCAUCACUUUAUUAACAAAUGAGGCAUAGUAAUGCAUAUUACCAAACCCUAUAACAAAGUCACAUAGCAUGUAUACAGUUAAGUAAAGAGUGAAACUUUGACCUAAAAGGGGAUGGGUAAGAUGGGUAAGAUAUUAGCAUUUUUAUAACAUAAAAGAUGCAAUUUAUAUGUCUAUUUUUCCAAUGACAUAAUCAUUUUGGACUUCAACUUUCGUACAAAAUAGUAGCAUACGGUAAAUGAAUAUUCAGAGAUGUGAAGGUCAAUGAACAUACCAUAAGUGAGACCACAGAAGUCUUUUUCUUCCUAGAUAUAUAAAAUCAAGCAAAAUUGGGACAAAAGAGACAAAGUUAAUAAAGGUCUCUUUUUUUUUUUUUUUUUUUUUUUUUUUUUUUUUUGUAGGCAACGCACCUCUUUUUUUUUUUUCAUAAAAUUUUAUUAUUUUAUAAAAAUUUCGGCAGAAUUUCCCCUUAUAAAAGGACGAAACUCCCUGCCAUCAAACCACAAUUUGACAAUAAAUAUACAAUAUAGCGAAGGAUUAAGCACUGAAAAUCUGAUACUAAGAUUAAAUCUUCCGUUGUCCAUAUUAGGAUGUCUUCCAGUGAAUCUGAAUGUUGAUCCUUGAAGCUCAGCGGUUAAUCUUGUCACUUUCACCUGCAUUGGUCUUUUUUGCUUCUUAUUCCCAUUCAUGCCAGACACCGUGUACGAAACGUAGGAAGUCCCAAUCGAUCUAAUCUAAUAGCCCCCCUGACCAAUAGUGGUAAAUCUGAAAAUGUAUUAAACACAUGACCUGCGCAAGCAUCAGCACCAAAAUUUGCCAGAUGAUCUGCCGGUGUGUUUGCUUCUCUGUAGCAGUGUGUGAUGGAUUGGAAAGACUGCUUGAAUAUCAUCAACUCAUCCAGAUCUCUCUGUAGACGCCAAGGACACGCACUAGUCCCUUGAACAAUCUGAACCAGGGUGAAAGAAUCUGCCUCUAAGUGUAACUCCAAGUACCCUCGAAUCACACAAUGUCUAACUCCCCAUAACAACGCUCGAAGUUCUGCUUGCAUGCUAGUUAUCACUCCGAAGGGCUCCGCGUAUCCAAAUACAAAAUUUCCUCGACUGUCUCGCACAAGUCCACCCCCCCCACUCCUUCCUGGGUUUCCCCGAGAGCAUCCAUCUGAGUUCAACUUAUAACCUCCACACGGAGUUACCCAAUAAACUGGCUUAAUAAUCAUCCGCCUUUGAUGACUACCCAACUCGAGAAGUAACCCUUCCCAUGUAGGAGCAGAACACUGCACCCCCGGGAACCGUGAUUGAAGAAAAUCAUGAAGAAGCUGAACAAUCCGAGUCACCGUAUCCCUUAUCCUCAUCUUCCGAUCUUCAAACACCCCUUCAUUCCUUAUUUUCCACAAAACCCAGCAUACUACCGAAGGAAGUAUAUUUUGUAAAAAUUUUACACGGUCAUUAGUUCCCCUCCUUACCCAACAAGACCACACCAUGUGACGUGUUGUAUGCACCCCACUAAAUUCACCAACAGUACUCUCGAAGUGACGCCAGACCGAUCGUGCCCCUUCUCCUGAGCAAAAUACAUGAUUCAAGGCCUCUUCCUGAGGGUUCUGACAACAGAAGCAUUUAGAUGGGCCAUAGACCCCAAACCUCUUUAGUCGAUCCAUAAGAGGGAGCCUCCCCUGUAGUAGUCGUAACAUAAAAAAAGAGAUCUUGACUGGAAGGCCUUGCUGCCAUAUACGGGCAAAAAGCCAAGAGGUGUCAUUGGAAUGACUGAUCAAUGAGUAAGCCGAUGCAGUGGAAAAAACACCCGAGUUCGUUAAUGUCCACACCAUUCUGUCAUUGCCCCUACCUGAAGGAGGAUCAAGCUCCAGAACCUGCCUAACCAGUUCUCCAUCUAAGAAUUGAUGGAGCAUGCCCACAUUCCAGACCCGUCGAUCUACAAAAUCAACCACGGAAUGAUCAUGGAAGACAUCCACCUUGUUGCAAAGCGCUCCUGACCCCAUCCAAUUGUCAUGCCAAAAAUCCAAAGCACCCUCACGAACUAUCCAAGUAAUAUUCUCCUCCCCAAAACGCUGCAUUGUGACCAUCCUCCUCCAAGCCUGGGAUCCCCGAUGACCAAUAUCAGCAAGACAAGGGUGCUGCCCUGCACAAUACUUUUGGAGCAUAAACUUUGCCCAUAAUGAUUGCUGUUGCCGGAAUUUCCACCAGAGUUUAAUGGAAAAUGAGUCGUAGACCUGCAUCAACCCCCGCAGGCCUACACCCCCUUCAUCCUUCGGCCGACACAGAUCUGCCCAACUGAUCCAAUGGUACUUGUUCCCCAAAUUCAAGGAUCCCCACAAGAACUUGGCAAACAAUUUCUCUAGGGCCAUCAACAUCCCUUUUGGAGGGGACGCGGCUGCCAGCAAAUGAAUUGGCAUAGAGGCUAACACGCUCUGAAUCAAUACCACCUUGCCCCCUGACGAUAAAAUCUGGUUCUUCCAAGACAAAAUGCGAUUCGCCACCGCAUUAUAUGUAUCCGUAUAGUAAAUCGUCUUACUCCUUCCGUCAUAUAAGGGACAACCAAGGUACCGUAUCGGAAAUACUCUUCUAUUAUAUCCCAAUACCUGGUUAACAACCGCUGUCCUCUGAGCUGGUGAGCGUGGAUGAGUAAGGAAACAACUCUUCUGAGGGUUGAGCCGCUGACCUGAUACCUCACUAUAAUCUUCCAGAACUCGUUUAAUCAAAUGUAGGGAUGACCUGCUGCCACUAGAAAAGAUAAUCACGUCAUCGGCGAAUGCCAAAUGCGUAAUUAUAGGACAAUGAGGAGGCACUUUAAACGGAGUAAAUCCUCUCUGUGUGGGUAGCUUGUUGAGGGCUCGAGACAACAACUCAGCUCCAAUAACGAAUAAGGCUGGUGAAAUGGGAUCUCCUUGCCGUAAACCCCGUGAAGAUUUGAAAAAGCCGUGUGAACCGCCAUUUACAAGCACCGAAAACCAAAUAUUCGAUAUUAAGCGCCAUAUCAUGUCUAUCCAAGUUUCACUGAACCCGAAAUACCGUAACACCUGUAGUAGAAAGGGCCAUGAGACUCUAUCAUAAGCCUUCAUCAUAUCUAACUUGAUGACCACGUUGCCACCCCGAUUUGAUUUUUUAAUAUCCGCUACUAACUCUUGGGCUAACAAGAAAUUAUCUGUAAUCUGCCUCCCUUGGACAAACCCACUUUGCUGUGGAGAUAUAAUCCGGGGUAAUAUUAUCGCCAAUCUUGUCGAUAAUAGUUUGGAAAUGAUUUUGUUAGUGAAGUUACAUAGACUGAUUGGCCGAAAUUGCUUGAAAUCUUGGGGGUUCUCCACUUUGGGUAACAACACAAUUGAAGUAGCCGUGAUACUCCUAGGUAGUUCAGCGCCGCAGAAAAAGCUGAUAACCGCACGGUAUAUAUCCAAAGCCACUACCUCCCAAGCAAAGGUAAAGAAUUUCCCUGUAAACCCGUCCGGCCCUGCUGUGCUCUCUCCCAAUAAAGGUCUCUUUCAUCUUUAAAGAAAGGAUAAUAUUGCAUCAUUUUUACCUCUAUUUACAGUUUGGUAAAUAAUGAACAUACAAACAUGGAUAUAAUCGUGGACUACAUUAACAUGUACACAUACAUGGAUAUAGUAAUUUUGGAUGAGCAACAUGACCAUUAGUCUAUUGUUUUUUAAAUAACGAGAAAAAAGAAAAGCAAAAAAAAUAGCAACAUUGUCACCAUUUCAUGACAAUUAUUUUCCCUUGUCUAAAGGGGACUAUCAAAGACAAUAAGAAAAACUUAGAGGUACGAAGUAUUACAUAUUUCCAUUUCAAUAGAACCCGCCAACAAACCAUUCUAGAGGUUACCUGUUUUCACAAUUUAUCUGCAAUAUUAGUCGCAAUUUAUUUCUUAACAAUUUCAUGAAUGCGUAAUUUAGUAUCUUUUUGUCCUUGAACUUUGUAAAGCCCAAAUUUAAGUAAUUAUAGAAAGACACGGACUAAUAUUCAGGUUUUUUUUCCAAGCGGGGGCAUGGGAUUUAAGAAGUUGAAGAGGGUAGAGGGAUUUGAAUUCAAGAGGUCUAAUUUUUAAGGCUUUAACGAGACUAAUAUUCUAGUUAUUAUUUCUUAGAUUAACUUUUUAUGCACUAACAAUGUGGUAAUUUUUUUAUAAAAGUAGUUAUGGAUACAUGUUUUUUUUCAAAAGAAAAGCUUUAUUUGAUAGAAUAUGAAGAGGUCAUACAUGAGAAACCAAAUCAGAAUAACCUGAACACUAACUUAUCUUUCUACACCCUAACCCUGCGCAAACUUGGAAUACCUGACCGAUCCAGAACGACGUCUCCUCUCACCAGGCGGGGCAAGUCACCGAAUGAUUCAUGCGCAUAAUUUGAGUUCUAAAUUUGAAUUGAUACUAUGUGAUAUGAUCUAACCUUUCUUGUGUAAAAAAAAAAAAAAUCAUUCACUGACAGUGUAUAAAAAAAAUAUUUUUAUUUCUUCAUUUUUUUAUUCGGUAAUUUGUAAAGUAAACCAUAUGUCUCACAUGCUGUUCGUAAUUUAAGGUUGCUUAAACCCAAAUGAAGAAGUUAGAAAAGAGAAGAAAGAGAAUACUUAUUAUUGCAGGUAUCUUAUUUUUCACAAAAUAAAAGGUUACAAGUAUCCGAUUCAAAUACGAUAUGCUUGUGGUUUGGAAAACUUUUUGACACGAACCCCAUCGAAAACAAAACACGUAUUUCACAAGCCCAGGACCUAGACGAUUAAUACCAAUGGUUUGGCAGCAAAAAGCUUGACUCUAAUUAAUUCUAGAAGUCAUGAACAUGUUGAUAUAAUCUCAACCCAUAAUUAAUCGAAUUAACGAACCAAAGUUGCAAGGUAGAAGAACGCCACAACCAAGGUAUAUAUUUGAUUGAUAAGUUCGAUUGAAUACUCUCAAGACAUUCUCAAGUAUUCAAGAAAGGUUCUUUUGGACAGGAAAAAAAGUGAUAACUCACAUAAUUUCUACAAAAUUCUGAUUAUUCAAUAAAUGUUGAAAGAAUAGGCUAUUUAUAGUCUUACAAUGACUCAAACCAUAAUACUAUUUGGACUUGACUAAACCCUAAAACUAAUAACUAGAAUUUCGGCUAAAUAAAGACAAUGCUGGUUGAAUUAUUAAGCUAAAAAUAGCAACUAAAACAGCAAGAUAAAUAACAAAUAAACCCUUGCUUAACAACCCUAAACAAAUGACUUCAAUAGCUACAAAAAAUUACUAAUGAAACUACUCUUCAUUUGACUCAAUAAGCUAAAGCAAAGUAACCAAUGCGACUUGUACAGAUUGGAGCCGAUUAAAGCUUGUUAAGCAUGAUUAGCGUGUGAAGAUUUAGUAGCCCAAAAUCCUUAUGGAUUUGGAAGGGAACCAGUUCUUCAUGGUUGCAUCAUUCCCCUCCUCUUGAAAGCGAUUUGUCCACAAAUCGACGGUGUGCUUAGAGGACAGCAACAUUGGAAAUAGAUAAAGAAUCACGAGCCAAGCUAUAUUCCGUUUGGUUUGCCUCAAGUUGCUUUCAAACAAAGACAUUCGCUAAGAUAAGAACUAGCUUGUGUAUAACUUGUAGGAAUUCUAGGUUGCACUCCAUAACUCUCUAGUCAGCCUUUUGUCAUGAAAUGUCAAAGUUGGACUGAAACUAGAAAAAUCCCGAAUCUGAUUGUGCAAAGUGGUAUAAUUCAUCACUAGUUGUUGCUGGUUUGGCACAACUUGCACAUCUGGAGAUAGAACAAUGAACCAAUCUUGUUGCAUAUCCGUAGAAGCAUGAAUCAACAAGGUAAGAACAACAUUCGGAUCUUGAUUGACACACAUGUUCACAUCUUCCAAUAUACGAGGCAGCAAUCGAUUGAAUUCCACUCCAUACGAAUCACAUGAACUUGCACAAGUUGAAGUUGGUAAAAUGAACUCGUGGUGACCAGCUUUUGAAUGUGUGAAUACGCAUGAAAAAUCACAACAUGCAGCUGGAACAAGGAUGAAAUCAGGUUGCAACUCUUUAAUCAAAGCUAGAAAAUUUUGGAUAGCUUUACAACCUACAAAAACAAAAUAAAUCUCAACUUGAUUUGAACCAGAAAUUGGAUAAUAAGCAAUGGAACAUCAAUAGUUAAGUGGUAAGAAGGUAUAGAACAAGAGUUAAAUGCAAAAACUCCCUUUGACACUUCAUUAUUCCUUCCACCAAUCGAUUCAACUUGAGAAUUCAUUGCUGGCUCUUUAAUCUGCAUAAGAAAUAUAGGUGUUAGGACAGAAAUUAUACUUAAAAGAAGGUAAAGAUGAUGAAUGAACCAUAGGUAGUAAACGAGAAUCAAGAUCUGGAAUUCUCCCUUCAUGAUGAGUUUGAAUUAAUUCUCCAUGGUGCGGAUAGAUUUGAAUUGAAAUUGUUCCAUGAAGUGAUACCAAAUAGAUUUAUCUCUUAGAAGACAAACUCCAUGGAAAAUAGUGAAUUGUACAUGUGACUUUGGAAUGGGACAUUGCAUGACUAACUUCACUUGACUUUGCUUAAUCUGUACGAAAGAAAAAACACUAAACACAGCAAAGGUAAGUUGGUUAGGAAAACAAUAAGCUCUCACAUUCUCACUCAGAAUUAGCUCACUUGAUUUAACUCUCAUCUCAUCAGAAUUUUUCAUCUCUUUUUCUAGCUCAAUUCCUUCAAAUUUUACCACUAUGGUCGAAGCACUCAUGGAUCUUUCCUCAUGCGAUUCCUCAACUUUUACCUCACGCUUCUCACUAACAACUUCAUCUUCCCACUUUGCAGCUUCUAUUACGAUUUCCUCAAACUUGAUUCUUUCAACUUGCCUUUUCUUUUGUUUUUCUUGAAGCAACCGUUGGUAAAUAUCCCAUAUUUCAUCCAUGGAUGGUGUAUUGACAUGCUUAGACUUGGAAGAAAUUGAUGUAGUAGGCUCCUUUUCCCUCUUGAGUGGUCUUUUCUCCUUUAGUUCACCAUAUGUUGACCCAAUGCAAGGACUCUUAAGCUCCACAGCUCCGCGAUGGUCAUUAGACCUUUCAAUUGCACAAGCUGACUUGGUUGAUGAUGAACUCCUUUUAGAUGUUUGGCAUGUCCUCUUUUGGUUUUCCAUAUAGUCGUCACAAGUGCUCUUGUAUCUCUCAUAAGCUCGUAGUACACGAUCACGAUCCAUCUCUUUCUUGAGGGUACAAAACUCAUGGUUUGACACUUUAGCAUGGCUAGAUUGAAUGGAACCCCUCCUCUUGAGAGAUUUGUUCUCAAUUCUAUCAAGUUUUUUAUGCAUAAGUUGGACUGAUUUGCCUAACCUCCGUUCAAGGUCCCCCAAUAUGGAUUCCAACAUAAGUGUAGCAUCGAUGGUGUAAACUUCCAUUGGUGGACAUCCUUAACCUGCAAAAAGGUUAGCAAAGAAACAAAGGAAAGUUUCCUCACAACAUACCCUCACAUGUAUGCACUCGCACUCGUGUAUCGCUCAAGUGUUUAAACACUCUAAUGAUCUCACCAAUCACUUCUCAAGUCAUUUGAUUACCUCUCUUGAAGAAAUCAGAAUUUCUCAAUGAGAUUCAAUCAAACUUUCACCAAGAAAUCAGCAAGAAUGUGGCGUUCGAAAGCUGGAAAUUUGAGGUAUUAUGAAGGAAUAUAAUGACUCAAAAAGGACUCUAAAAUACGCUGAAAAUUCCCAGAAUUAUUUGCUGCAAAAACACCUAACGACUUUGGAAAGUAGAGAAUUGACACUAGACGCUAUUAGGAAACUAACAACGAAUUGAUAACCAAGACUGAUUUUGCUUACUUGAACUAGUUAAAUCUGGAUAUAAACUGGAAAGAAGGGACUCAAAACAUAGAUUUAUAUGGCUGGACAUGACACGGAUUUAAGCAGAAAUUUUGGAUCCUAGAAAUUUACUCUACUCGUAUGUAUGUGCGGCUGAAGUUUGGAAACUUGCUUGGCCGACGAGGUCUAGAAAUUUGUUUUGGGAAGCUUGAGUUCACUCUUGGAAAGCAAGAUGUGGUUUUCAAUAGCUUUCCUAAGUGUGUGUUGGAUGGCUAAACAUAAACCAGAUUGGUCAAGAAGUUACGUGACCAGAAUUGGUAACACUCCAAUUCCAAUUUGGUUUCCUAUUUGCAGCUACUUCUUGAUUUCUUGAUCCGUUUCCUUUUCUUUUCUUUUCUUUCUUUCUUUUUCCUUUUUUUACACGGAUCAGAUUUCCUUUUUUUUUCAAGCUGAUCAUUUGAAAUACAAUAGCCACAAAACUUUCAACAACCGCAAGUUCUCAACUUUCAAGAAGAUGAACUAGGGUUCAAGAAUUAGAAAGUUGGUUUCAAGAUUUUCAAGAACCCAAGAAAUUCAAGGUUUAUUGCUGGAAUUUAGUCCAAGAACUCAAGAAAUUCAAGAUUUUGUCCAGAAUUCAAGAGUUUUCAAACGUUUUUCCCAAGAACAACAAGGUCAGCCACGAAUUCACCAAAACUAGUAAAACAGCCACCAAAACUAACGACCGGUUUUUUUUCCCCUCUAAAACGAUUUCAAGACUCACGAAACAAGACCACAAGACACCAACAAGAUAAAAAAUCAUGAUGCAAACAAGAAUGAGAAUUCGGGUAGCCAAGAAAACACACGAACAGCAAGCAAAAAAUGCGACAGCAAGGCAUAGCAAGAAACGCUAUUGACUCAAUUUUUUUUUGACACAAGAAUCUAAAUUGGAAAACAAGAAAAAGCUGACUCAAACACAAUAGAAAAAAAGGGAUAUAACCUGGUAUUGUCAACCAACUCUGAUGCCAGAUGAUACGAAUCUCGUCGAAGAUGAAACCCGUAUUUUACAAGCCCCAGACCUAGACGAUUAAUACCAAUGGUCUGGCAGCAGAAAACUUGACUCUAAUUAAUUCUAAAAGUCACAAACAUGUUGAUAUAAUCUCAACCCGUAACUAAUCGAAUUAACGAACCAAAGUUGCAAGGUAGAAGAAUGCCACAAGCAAGGUAUAUACUUGAUUGAUAAGUUCGAUUGAAUACUCUCAAGACAUUCUCAAGUAUUCAUGAAAGGUUCUUUUGGACAAAGAAAAAGUGAUAACUCGCAUAAUUUCUACAAAAUUCUGAUUAUUCAAUAAAUGUUGAAAGACUAUUUAUAGCCUUACAAUGACUCAAACCGUAAUGCUAUUUGGACUUGACUAAACCCUAAAACUAAUAACCAGAAUUUCGGCUAAACAAAAACAAUGCUGGCUGAAUUAUUAAGCUGAAAAUUAACAACUAAAAUAGCAAGAUAAAUGACAAAUAAACCCUUGCUUAACAACCCUAAACAAACGAAUUCAAUAGCUACGAAAAAUUACUAAUGAAACUACUCUUCAUUUGACUCAAUAAGCUGAAGCAAAGUAACCAAUGCGACUUGGACAAAUUGGAGUCAAUUAAAGCUUGUUAAGCAUGAUCAGCUUGUGAAGAUUAAAUCACCCAAAAUCUUUUUGGAUUUGGAAGGGAACUGGUUCUUCGUGUUUGCAUCACUUUUGGCCAACAUAAUAAGUUUUUAAUUUCUUUUACAAACGAAAAUGUCAUAGUUGAGUUGUUUGAAUUGCUAUUUUCUGGAGUUUUUGUAGAAAAAUGUAUUGCAGCGAUUUGAUUUAUGUGAGGUAGAAAAUGAUUAAGAAAAGUAUUUACAAAAAACAUAAACAUUUUUCUGCAAAAAAUCUCAAUCCAAACAAGGUUGUGAGCCUAGACUUUGUAGAAAUGUCUAAGUUGAGCCAAAGUUUUUGGAUUGUGACUUCUCGAUUUUGUACUAAGUUUUGAAAAUUCCUUUCCAUGAAACACUUUAAAAAAAUUCUCAUUCUUUGAUCCUUCUAUAUUUCCUCAAAUGCUCUUUGGUUGCGUUUGGCAUGAGAGAUUUGACAAAAUAUCUGAAAUUCUCUCAAAUUCCUCUAAUUGUUUAGGCUACUUAAGAGAUAUUUAAAUUUGUAAAUCACCCAUUAUUAUAGUUUUAAAAUAUAUUUAGAUAAUUGAUAAAAUACAAACCUAAAUGACUCUUAAACAACUGGAGUGAUUUAGAUCAAUUUCAAACUUUUGAUCAAAAUUCUCAAUAAAAACGAAUGUAUUUGAGCCAUCAAAAAAUGUAAAGAGCCUUUGCAAGAUAAUUUUCGACUUAGAGGUCAACGUGAUGUAUAUAAAUCAAAGAAUGCUUAAGACAAUCAGGCUAAGAGGAAAAAGAGAUUAGCACCAUUACCCCCACUGAAUUUCUAACCACAAGUUGGGUAGUUGUAAACAUAUUUACAAUUGGUUUUUAAUAACUUUCAAAGACGUAAAACGUCCAAGUUACUGCCAGAAUUUUGCAUUGCUAUCGCCCGACUUUGUACCAAUGCCAAGUUGAGUCUAAUUAAUUGGAUUGUGACUCUCGAAUUGUGUAUUAAGCAGUGGAGAGUGUUGGAACAAUGACCAGAAAACUAACAAGAAAAAGGCUUCAAAUCGUGACUGCAAACCACUGUCUUUAAAACUUUAUUCGUCCACUAUAUUGUGCAAAAGAUUAAGGACGAAUAUCCUCUAGGAUAAGAUGAAAUUUGGUUGCAAACUUUGCACUAAGUUGUUACAACCCCCAAAGAACAAAGAAGAGAAGAGUAGAAAUUUUUCUAGAGUUUGUAAGUCUUUUUUGUCUGUAGUGAAAAAAUCACAAAUUGAUCCAUAUAUAGAAUGUCAUAUCCCUUAGAUGGUUAUUGAAUGGUAGAAACUUGUAUGGAGAUGCAUCCCUUCAAAUGAUGCUUGUAUCAUUUGAAACUUGAAAGGUUGCAAGCAAAAUUGUAGAAAGCUGCUAGGUGUGACCUUUGAAAUUUUCAAUAUUUGAAAAUUUCUUCAACAAUCCCCUGCCAUUUUCAAUAUAUUGAAAAUUUCUUUAUGGAUCACUAAAAAGUUUUGAUAAUCUAUGUAUAAAUAGUGGUAUCUUUCGAUCGAACCACCAUCUUAGUAUUAAUUGAUUAUAAUCUGUUAAUACUACUUGGCAUACAAGUUUUGAACCAAGAGUAUAUGCAACAAGCUACAUAAAUUAACACACACAGAUUCAUUUUUCUUCAAUUUGUUUAUACAAGUGAUAUAUUAGGUCUUAUAUCCCUACCAUUUCAUGAAUGUAUUUAAAGUUAAGUCCAAAAUUUUGUGGAUACCAUCAAUCCAACAUUCAUUUAGGCAAGCUCUUAACGCCCCUGCCAUUUGUAGCAUUUUACAAAACUUGUUAAGAAUUCUAAGUUCAACCUUCCAAUUUCAAGUAGGAAGAAUCACACUACACCUUCUUGGAUAUUUUGUAGUGUUCAAACCACUAUAUCAAUGUACUUUUACUCAUUGAAUUCAAGGCUUGUUGUUAUAACUAGCGUUGAAUCAAGGUUCCAUUAUUAGUGAUUCAUGGAUUGGACUUCAAUCCCAUCCCUUUAGAUGUGUUAACCACCACUUCCUUUGUUAAUCCUUUGGUUAAAGGAUCAACUGGGUUCUCUUUUGAUCUUACAAAAUCUAUGGUUAUCAUACCAUUCGUGAUCAAAUCUCUUAAUAGACGAUCCCUUAAUCCAACAUGUCUAGAUUUGUCAUUGUACACUUGGCUAUAAGCUUUAGCAAGAGUAGCAGCACUAUCACAAUGUAUGGAGAUUGAUGAAAUUGGUUUUGGCCACAUUGGUAUCUCAUGUAGCAAAUUUCAUAACUAACUGGCUUCUUUGCUAGCUAAAGCUAAGCCUAUAAAUUCAGCUGCCAUGGUGGGGUCGGUUAUGCAUAUUUGCUUCUUGGAUGCCCAAGAAAUUGCUCCUCCAACUAAUAUAAAGACCCAACCACUCGUAGAAGAAUGAUCAUCUUUAUUUGUUAUCCAACUAGCAUCCGAAUAACCUUCUAAUACUGAAGGAUAACUACUACAGCAAAUGCCAUAGUAUGUUUUAGAUAACUCAAGACUCUAGUUGCACUUAACCAAUGCUGUUUGCCUGGAUUGCUUGUGUAUCUACUUAACAUGCCUAUAACAAAAGCUAUAUCUGGACUUGUACACGUCAUUGCAUACAUCAAACAUCCAAUCACUUUGCCAUAAUCUAAUUGAGACAUGAGAUCACCAAUAUGUUUAACAAAGUCAAUAUUCGGAUCGAUGGGAGUUAAGGCAGGUUUGCAAUCUUGAUGAUUGAAACGACUCUCUCUUAAUUCUUAUUCAUAGGAUAACAUCGGCCUCUCCCAUGUCCUUCAUUUCAAACUUGCAUGAUAGCAACUUUUUGGUCUCAUUGACUAGCUUGUUCUAAUUCAGUACCAAUGAUUAAUGUAUCAUCCACAUACAAGUAUAAGGGUAUUAGGUGUCGAUCCCACAGAGAAUAUUGCAAUUACCAGUGUUUUUCGAACUCCUUUAUUAUCUAGACUACCAUAAACAUAAAAGUAAUGAAAAUUAGCAAUAGAAAGCUCCUAGAGAUAUGGAAUUCCUUACUACUCUUGCAAAUGAGAUUACCAGUUAAAUGAAUGCUAUUAUCUUGGCUAGUUAUGACGUAAUUUCCUAAUGUAUGUGAAACCUACUUUCGUAAUGAAUCAACUAUACUUGUAACUAAGCCAUACCUACUCUCGUUGUUAUGAAAUCAACUUCAAGUUCAUUCCUUCUAUAAAAUUACAUGAAACAAGUCACUUAAGCCACAAAUGUGCUCCUCUACUCUCGCGAGUGAACUCCCUAGGUUUAUCACUUCCUUGAACUAAUGUUAAAUUCCAAUUCUCAUUGCAAACUUAACAUCUUUAGAUAAUCACAACUAAUAGCUGGUUAAUCAUGAUUAGAAAAGCAAAAGUGAUAAAUAACUUGCUCAAAAUAAUAUCAUCACAUACCAAAUAAACAUCACUUAACAAGAUAUUGCAAAUUCAUCCAUAACUCUAGGCAUAAACUUUAACUAAACAUGUUAAAAACACAAAUCCAAACUUGUAUUAUAGCUAAACAUGAAAUCUAAUACAAGAGAGAAAGUAGUAGAAGAGAUAUCACCCUUGUCACAUGAGAUCAACCUCUCCAUCUUUGCUCCUCAAUCUUCAUCCAAAUCUAGCUACAAAUACAAAAAAGAUAAACUACUCUACCUAUACUAUACUAAUGAACUAAGAAAAACUAGUGAAGACUACAUUUUUGGUGAGUUUCUCUAACCUUCCAAAGUUAUGCAAAUGUUCUCCAAAGCCUCUAUUUAUAGAGGAAUUCAAGAGUCAAAUGAGUUGUUAAAGUUGUCAUUUUUGACUCUUGAAUCUUCCAUGAGUUGUCUUUCCAACUUUCCAACCUUUUCUUGAUCAGAUACAACCGAGAUUGAUAGCUGGAAUUGAGUUGGAAAAGUUGUGUGAAAGCAAGGCAAGUUGAUGAGCAAGUUACAGAAAAUAGGUGAGAAUACGCGACUGUAACCCAUGUUUUCAUUGAGUCGCAUUUUCACUUCUGCACUACUUCAACUACUAUUUUCUUGAUGAGCAAGUUGUAGCUCUUUGAGUUAGCUUUCCAAUACCUCAAGAAUCAUCCAAUUUGUAGUUCUGUGAAGAUAUGACCAAAAUACCAAAGACUAGUCAGAGAGCUCUGUUCCAGCUUACGACCACAGAAUUUUCUCUUCUGUAUUCCAACUUUUGGACAAGGAAAACAACUGAUCUGGACUUUGAUGUCUGCAUACCAAAUGUAGAUCUAUCUCUUAGCUUCAAAAUGGUUCAAGAAUCACCUCAAUCAGAUCCUUGUAUCUCAAGAUAUAACCGAAAUACCACAAGGUGUCAAAACUGUGAAACUUGCUUUCUUUUGUUCUUGCUUGCAUUUCCUCUUUUGCAUUUCAUAUCUUCUUUUUAUCACUUUAAAUCAUCAUCAAUCAACCAAUUAUCUUGUCAAAUCUCUUCCUUUGAUGAUUGAAUCCUUAAACCUACAAAAACAUGAAGUUUUUGCCGUAAAAGUUCAUAGAAAUGCAAUUUUCACACUUUAAACCAUAAAAUGCAUAUUUUCACUAGAAUUUUAGUUUAUUAGCUAUAAAACUAAUUAAAAUACACCAAAACUAACUAAUAAAACAUACUUAAAACACGUAAAAUAUCUACUUGUCAAAGCUAUCUUUAGGUGAUUCAUUCUGGUUUAGCACGUUGUUAAUUUCUUUAGACAUUGAGGUGAAUCUUUUCUCAUAGGCUCUAUUACCAUGAAUCUAUAGGCCUUGCUAUUUUGUGCAUAUUCUAAGAAAAUGCACUCAACACCUCUUUCACCUAAUUCCUUUUUUUAGAUUCAGGAACUUUGACAAUGGCUCUACAGCCCAAACUCUCAAAUGUUUGAGAUUCAAAUUUCAUUUGGACCAAAGUUCAUAAGGAGUUAUAGAGCUCCUUUUGUUCGAAACUCUAUUUAACAUGUAAAAAGCUGUAAAUACAACUUCUCCCCAAAAACCUUGACUUAAACCAGAAUUUGAUAGCAUUGCAUUCACCAUUUCCAUAAGUACUUUAUUUUUCCUUUCAGCCACACUAUUUUGUUGAGGUGUGUAUGGAGCGGUAACUGCAUGUUUAAUACCACUGGACUCAAAAAAUUCCUUUUGAUAGUAUUCACCACCUCGGUCAGUUCUUAAACAUUUAAUUAAAUUGCCACAUAAAAGUUCCACUUCUUCUUUGUAUAUCUUAAACAUAUGCAUGACUUCAUUUUUUGAAUGUAACAAAUAUACAAAACAAAAUCUAGUGCAAUCAUAAAAAAAGGUGGCAAAAUACUUGUUUCCCUCUAAAGAUAUGGUACCAUACAAAUCACAAAUAUUACAAUGAACAAGAUCUAACUCGUUUGUUUUCCUUUCAAUCUUUGGAAAUGGAUUUCUAGUUAUUUUUGUUAACAAGCAAGUUCUAUAUUUACCAUCCUUCUUUUGGACACUUUUAGGCAACAAAUCAAGUUUGAUCAUAUCAUGUAUCCUUCUAUAAUUAACAAGUUCAAGCCUAUUAUGCCAAAAAGUGGUAGUAGACUCACGCAUAUAAGCAAAAGAAAUAUUCGUAUUCAUCUUAUUAAUAGGCAUAACAUUUAGUUUGAACAUGCUGUUACAUAGAUAGCUCUUGCCUACAAAUAUACCACCUUUGGACUGUACAAAUUUAUCAAUCUCAAACACAAGUUUAAAUCCAAACUUAUUCAUCAAAUUACCCGAAACUAGAUUCUUUCUUACUUUUGGAAGAAAAAGUAUAUUUGUAAGAGUUACAACAUGUUCGGAUGUAAACUUUAAAUCUACUUCCCCAACCCUUUUAAUAGGAGCAGUCGUGGCAUUACCCAUGUAUACUAUAGAUUAUUCAUCAUCCAUUUCUUUCAAAGACUUGAAGAAGUCCUUGUUCUUGCAUACAUGGCGGGUAGCACCAAAAUCAAUCCACCGAGAAAAAUCUUCCUCAACUAUGUUGAGUUCAGAAAUCAUAGCCACAAGAUUCUUGACUUCAUUUUUUGAAGAAUCAGGGUUCUCCAACUUCUUCUUUUUGAGAAGUUUGCAUUCAUAUUUGUAAUGCCCUUCCUUCUUGCAAUGGUAGCAUUUCCCCUUUUUCUUCCUUUUCUUGUUCUUGUUAGAUUGACUCUUUGAUUGAUUGGAUUUCUUGUUAUCCUUGGACUUGCUUGUUUGUCCCUCUUCAACCAUGUUCACUUUGGAAGGCGGAUUUGCAUCCUUUUCUUCCUCCUUCGGUUGAACAUCUUUGUUCUCUUGCAUUCUAAACUCUUCAUCAACACAAAAAAGAGUUAGCAAAACUUUCAAGAGUGAUUUCUUUCUUUUUGUGCUUGAGAUCUCUCUUGAAAUCCUUCCAAGAGGGUGGUAGUUUAUCAAUUAUAGAACUAACAACAAUUGUCUUAUCCAUGAAAACAUAUUGUGUUGAGAAAAAUGAUUAAACAUCUUUUCAAGUUCAGCAAAUUGAUCCAUAACAGGCCUCUUGUCUAUCAUUUUAUAGUUAAAGAAACUAGAGACAAGAAAUUUCUUACUUGUUGCAUCUUCUCUCAUGUACCUUGCUUCUAACUUGUCCCAAAGUUCCUUGGCUAUUGUCAUCGAAUGAUAGACAUCAAAAAGGUCAUCACUCAUUGCAUUGAGAAUGUGUCCCCUACAAAUCUCAUCAUCCAUGUCCCAUUUUUGCUUAUGGCAGAUGUCAUCCAAUGUCUCUUCUUCAUCAUUUGUUGCAGCCCUUGGAGUAGUGAGAACAUACACCACUUUGAGGGCCACAAAAAAGAAAUGUACUCGCUUCUUUCAACGAAUGAAAUUCCUUCCAUCAAAACGAUCAAGUUUAACAAUAUUGGAAGCCAAAUCUUUUAUAGUGCUUGCCAUUUCAAGGGAGGAAUAAAGCCUUAAGAUUGUUGGAACAACAACAAAGAGAAUACUAUGAAAUGGCUGGAAAACUAACAAGAAAAAGGCUUCAAAUCAUGACUACAAAUCACUUUUCUUAAGGCUUUAUUCGUCCACUAUAUUGUGCAAAAGAUCAAGGACGAAUAUUCUUUAGGGUAAAAUGAAGUUUGAUUGCAAAUCUUUGCACUAAGUUGUUACAAUCUCCAAAGAACAAAGAAGAGAAGAGCAGAAAGUUUUCUAGAAUUUGUAGGUCUUUUUUGUCUACAGCAAAAAGACCACAAAUGGUCCAUAUAUAGAAUUUCAUAUCCCUUAAACGGUUAUUGAACGGUAGAAACUUGAAUGGAGAUGCAUCCCUUCAAAUGGCGGUUGAAUCAUUUGAAACUUGAAAGGUUGCAAGCAAAAUUUGUAGAAAGCUACUAGGUGUGGCCUUUGAAAUUUUCAAUAUUUAAAAAUUUCUUCGACAGGGAGGGAAGGGGCCCCACCCCCAAAAGUUUUAGAAAAUUCAGUUUUCAUUCCUUGUAAAACCUAGAAAUUUUUAGAACAUUCUUUAUAGAUUUAAAUUUUUGCCCCCACAAAACUUAAAAAUAUUUUAUGCUAUACAUAUAAGUUUAGAUAAAUUCAAAUUCGCCCCCUUAAGAUGAAUUUUCUGGUUCUGUCUAUGGCAGUAAGUUCAUUAAACAUUCAAGUUAACAAUGUUGUUCUAAAAUGUCAUCCCCCCAACCAAAUAAAAAGUACAUUUCAUUCUUGCUCCUUAAUUGUUCUUGCCGGCUUGCGGGAAAUAUAUAUCAAGUGCAUUUCUACCUAGGGCGUAUUCUAGCCUUAUCGAACUCAUUCUAUUGAAACAUAACGUAAAAAGCUCUCCUUCUCACCUUGCAUUUUCCUGCUAAUGCGAAAAUAUAACAUGGUGAAACUUACUCGCCCACAAAAAGAAUAAAGAAAUAAAAUGGAAAAACUGUAAAUAUAGCAAUCAACUUGACUCCAUAAAAAAGAUGGAAAUUUUAUUCAAGCAAUAUGACAAAAGCAACAAGAAAAAAUUGAGAAACAAGAUGCUAUUUCUGAGUACAUGAUACACUCCAUAAUAUGUCAAAAUUGAACGCUAGGUAUAACUUUAUCCUUAAACAAUGCAUGGUAAAAUAGAUUAAGAAAUAUUGUCCUGCCCCUUUUUAAAUUAAACCAUGAUGUUUCAUUGUAUAAAGCUUUUCAAUAUAUGUCAUUUAGGUUUUUUCAACGUAUAGUUAAUCAUGACUUAUAUUGCACGCAGACUACAUUUAGGUUCCCUUUUUCAUAUCAUUGAUUUUUUAAGCUUUCCUAUUUCAUUUUGAAUUUUUUUUGAGUUACAUUAAACAGGGAUAUCUGCUUAAAAAUGAAAAUAUGAACAAAAAUAGGUCAGUUUAAAAUUAGCAAUCUUAUAACAUAGAGAUGCAAUUCACCUAUUUAGCCAAUAACUUAACCGCUUGACUUCAACUCCAAUACCAAAUCGUAUCUUUACCCGAGAUGAAAAUCCAGGUAUGUGCAAGUCAAUAUGAUUACCAAAUAAGGGAAACCAAAGAAGUCUUUUCCAUCCUAGAUUGGUGAAAUCAGGCAAAAUUUGGGAAAAAAAAGGCGAUUUACACUUAAUAAAAAUCUCUUUUUCAUAUUUACAAAAAUGUAAUAUUUCAUCAUUUUUAGCUUUAUUAUUUACGCUUUGUUUAAUGAUGAACAAGAGGAGUGAAUAAACAGAAUAGACAGCAGUACCAUAUGUAUAUUACAUUGCAUGGAUAUAAAGUUGAAUGAGCACAAAAAGAACAAAAGAAAAAAAUAGAAAGAGCACCAUUAUUGCUCUUUCUACAUAAUUAUUUUCCCUUGUCUUCAAAAAAAAGGGCUAUGGAAGGCAAUAAAAGGAAUUGUAGGUGUGAAGAAUGACAUAUUUUUACAUUUCAACAUAUUUUCCUUGUCUUCAAAAUGAGGAUUAAUACUCAACUAGUUUUGAAAAAGUAGCUUUUUAUUUUCUUUCAGAUACGUAAAUGUCCAAGUUAAUCCCAGAUUUUGGAUUGCAAGAUCCUGGUUUUGUAGAAAUGUCCAAGUUGAGCCUAAAUUAUUGGAGUGUGGCUCCCGCAUUUUAUAGCAAGUUUUGGGAAUUCCUUUCCAGGAGAAGCUAAAGUUGACAAGGCUAUUCAGAAAUGACGUUUAUCCAUAUAAAAUUGAAUAAAUAAAAGACAUCUCAUUCUUGAUCCUUAACUAUAGAUGCUGGAUUUACAAUCAGUUGAUAUUUUCUGUACGCACCGGAAAAGAACUAGAAUUCCAUUUUAAACUUUUUUUUUUGGGGCAGUGUCCACUUCAAGCUUUGAUUUUUUUUUUUCCUCAACAAUUUUUUGUGUAUUUGAGCCUUGAAAGUAAGUAAGAGCCUUUUAGAGAUAAUAUUAAACUUGUUCACUAGAUUAGCAGGAAACUGCUCAGAUAAGUGCUUUGUAAACAACAUAAUUAGAGUGAGAACAAAAUCGCCAAACAUGCUUUUGUCAAGUUUUAAUGAUCUAUGACACUAAAAUAAAUCCUUUAAUUAAAACGAACUGCAUGUAAUUAAGCAUUCUCCUAGAGCUAAUUUCCUGUAAAACCACGCUCAUCUUGUUGGAUUUUUAUGAGAAUUUGGCAGAGUUGACAUUCUUUGUGAAUUUGAAAGGUCAAAGAUGUUGGCAUAUUAAACCAAUACAAUUCUAGAAGUUUACGUACACCUUUGUAUCAAGUUUUGUUCAGGAUAAGCUUUUUGUGGUUUUCUUAAUUUAUUAUCUGGUGUUAAUUAUUGCAUUAGGAAGAUUCUAGUGUUAUUUGUGUCUUCAACAAGUUUUCUAGAGUACUUUGGUAAUGUAGUUAGUUGGCAAGAACGAAGUAUUGAGUCUUGCUUUUGUUGUUUAAUUAAAAACAAGCUGAUUUUAUUCUUCUUAUUGCACAGAUAUUUUAAGUGUAUAAUAUAGCCUACCCUUACAUGUUGCAAUGUGUUAAAUUCAUCUCCUGGCUUGUAUAGUUUUUUAGUUUCUGCAAAAGUGACUGGCUUCUACAUUAACCAUAUUCUUGUCCUCUUUUAAAUGAAAUCUCUUACUUGAAAAGUUGCAUAGAAGGUCUCAAAAGGAACUACAGGAUUAACAAUUUUUCUCCAUUUUUUCAUUUUAUAACCUUGUGCUCAGCAUUGUGUGAUUUGUAAUAUUGUGAUAGCCCCGUUAACCUUAUAACCGUAGUAUUUGAAAUUGCAAAUAUAUAAAACAGGAAAGGUGAGAAAGUAUGAAUCUCUAGUAAGACCAUUCAACAUUAAACAAAUUACGUACUCUAUUCACUAAACCUAUUUCUAAGCUCAUAUUCCUACCAAAUUUGAGUUACGAUUGUUGUACUGACUUGAUAUAUUUUGAAGGGAUAAUUUUAGAAACCUCCCUUGAGAUUUUUGACAAUUUUACUGAGCUCUUCUGAGAUUUGAAAAAUUAUACCUAUCUCCCUUGAUUUGAUAGGUUUAGUAACAAAACCUUAAAAUAAUAUUGACUUGGUCAAAUUUUUAAAUGAAUAUCCAAAAGUGCCCUUGUGUACUGAGUUUUAAUUUAUUUCCCUAUACAAUUAUAAGAUUAUCUAGUGUAAUUACAAGGAAAAGGUGCCAAAAUUUUCAUGUCCAUACAUACUAUUUGAUAAACAAUUAUAAUAAUAAUUUUAUCACUAUGAUACGAUACUUUUGAUGGUAUUUUAUUAUGGAUUUAUAUUUAUAAGAUAGAAAAGAAAAUGUUGAUAUAAUUGAUUUAGAGUUUAUGAAUUUUUUGAAUAGUGAGAUUAUCAUAAUUUAGUAGUGGUUUUGGGCUAUUUCUUUUUUAUUUAUUUUUAAUUUUAAUACCAAAAAAUAGAAACAAGUAUUAGCAAAAAAUAUUGGAUUACAUAUAAAGUUAACUCAUAAAAAAAACACUAGUUUGACAUUUGGUUACAAUAGAAACUAGAGGUAAUAGUGGUAGUUCUACAGUUUUAUUGGUAAAAAAUUAAAAUAAAAAGGAAUAAGACGGAAGAAGAAUGAAAAAAUCAUUUUAAUUAUAAGUAUAUCGAACAAGGGAAUUUCAUUAAAAUAUUUAAGGGUAGUAUUGUCAUUUUAAAUGAUAAGGGAGGUAUGUAUAAUUUUAAAAAUCUCGAGGGAGCUAAGUGAAAUUGAUAAAAACCUUAAGGGAGGUUUUUGAAAUUAUCCCUAUUUUGAAUGGAAUAAAUAAUUUAGAUCAUCUCAUCGCCUUGGUGUUUGAAAUUGCUAUGUAAAGAUAAAAACGACUUUAUAUGCUCCAAGCCUCCAACAGCAUUUGUCAUAUCUGUAUCAACCUUUUAAGACUGAAUCUAUAACAUUGUGCCAAAAAAACAUGAUAUGGAAGGGUCGUAUUUUGGGAAACAAGACCUAGAAAGGGUCGUACUAUCGGGAACAUAUUUCCCCAUGGAUUGUCUAUUAAUCAAUACAUUCAUACUUCUACGGUAAGGGCAUCCGAAAGAAUCAGCUUACCAAAUAUUAUUGUUCUGGCAUUAUUGAAGUGACCGUGCCCCACCCACGUUGUGUCGUGACUCUAGGUAUCAGCAAACAGCCAACUUGUGGCCCCAAAUCCUACAAUCAACAUGCUCAAGCACUCUAGGGACCUUACCAAACAGCCUUUGUUAGUUGAAAUAUCUUAAGUACUAUCUCGAACAAAGAUAUGAUCAUUUUAUAUAAAAUUAUAGAGAGAUUAUGUAGAUAAAUGGAAUGUACAAUAAGUAGUAAAGUGGAUAUUCAUGCAUAUAGGAUGCUUCAAAAAUUAAUAGAAACUUCCUCUCACUAAGUUGAGGCUUUCUCUCUCUAAGUAGAAGUGCUCUCUCUUGGGAUAGGAACUCUUCACCUUUUUUGGUGGGAAAGGCAGCAAACUCAAACUUUUUCAAACUACCAUACUCCCGCACUUUUACCAACAGGAGCUUCCAAGGCAGAUGCUUCCUCAACUCUGUCAGAAUCAAUGCAACCGAAAGCAGUAUAUCUUUGAGAUUAGUAAUGCAUGGAUAGAAGUAGCUCAAGCGUCACAAGCUCCAAACCUUGGGUAAACUUACGCCAGGUAUAACGAGGUGCUGUGUUUCUAUCUUGCCUUUGUACUUUUAAAGGCAACCGUGAUCAGAGCAACUUUUUACAUUUUCUUUCUUCACUUUCGGUUUUUGUCAGCAGAAUCACUCAGUGUUUCUAGUGGCCUCUUUGCCCUUUUGUUUUUUCCUUGUCUGUCUCUACCCUGUUUUUACCCUGUGUCUCCUAAGUGAGGUGUGGAAUUUCUGUCUAGAAAUAGCUGACCCUGUCCAUGGAGGGAGAUCUAUCGGAACUCUUACGGAAAUUUACUCUGGAAGGGAAUGAGUUCUCAGGAGCUACCCUGGAGGUGGAAGACCUGCAUAAUGGAGUGAGAGCUUGCGAAGGUAGUCUUAUAGGAAGGGUUAUAAGAGAGAAAGUGAUUAACUUUAUAGGGAUUAAAAGUUUUUGUGGCUAUGGCAUGGGGUUAUCUGAGGAAUAUGACAGUGAUGGAACUGGGACCUAAUGUGUUUCAGUUCAACAUCCCGAUUUCUGAUGAGAUGGAAAGAAUUGUUAAUGGGGGACCUUGGGUGAUAGAUAAUCGAGUUUUAGUGUUGAACAGGUGGACUGAAGGGAUAGAAGAAGACUAUAGAGCCUUUAUGUUUGCACCCCUUUGGGUACAAAUCUAGAAUUUGCCAGUUCACUGGCAUUCUAAAGAAGUUGGAAAAAAGAUUGGAGCAGUGUUUAAAAAAGUUGGAGAGGUGUUAGUACCUCAAUCUGGAGGGAAAGUGUGAGAAUCCGAGAAAAUUAUAUGUAUGCCUUGAAUUUAUUUCAUUUUAUUUACUUUAAUAUUAGACAUAUCAUAUAUAAUGAAUAAACGGUUAAAUUAAAUGCCUAAUUGAAUCUCCAUAAAAUUGAGAAUUUAGAAACUAUCCUAGGAUGGCAUGAGAAAUUCUUAUAGGAGUAUGCAAAUUGGAACAAACUAAAGUUUGAGGCAAUAUUUGAAGAUGGUAAAAUUUCAACUCCUUAGCAAGUAAAUAAAUUAAUUCAAAAGACCAUUUUAACCUCAACACUUGAGCAAUUAACUAUGCAACCGAAUUGACCAUUCUCGGCUAAGCAUAAGACUGAACAGAGGAUUAAAAUUCGGUGGAUUCCAUUUGGUAUCAAUUUGCUAAGAGCAAAAGAAGAACAACCGAGAGCUAAGCUAUCUUUUCUCCAAACCCAAAACUGAGAGUAGAAGUGAGAGCGAGGGAGAGAAAUUUUGCUAGCUUCAACACCUGCUAAUCACAACCGAGAGAGAGUAAAGCAAGGAGAACUGGAGCGAGAAUCUGGUGCAAGAAAUUUGAGGAACCAAAGCAGAGAAUUAGAGCCGUCUGCAAUUAUCGAAUUCUAGAGGAAAAGAGGUAAGAUUCUGCAAUAACUUCCUGCCUAUUUAGUAUAAUUGAAUAUAUACAAGCUGCUUGUUGAACUUAGCUAGGAAAAUGAGCUCUUGGCUGAAGGAAAUUCUGUGUAGCAACUGAAAAGCUGUAGGAAAGGAAAAUUGCAGAAACCGAGAGUGAAAAUUUAAAUCUGCAACUUGUUAUCAAUAUUUCUUUGGAGAAUAAUGUUAAGAAGUGCAUGCAAUAUAUUUAUCUUAAGUUUAUAAGAGGUUUAGCUGGGAAAACUUGUGAAAAGUUGGAAGUUUGAGCUGGAAAUUGCUAAAGGAAAGUCACUGGAAAUUUUCCAGCUUUAGCUGAGAGAGGGAAUAGAGUUUUAUCUAACUUUUCUUUUCGAAUCCCUGGUUAUAAAUUCUAUACUGCUGCUUAAGUUAUCUUAUCUUGUAACAUAACAACAACCCCUAUAUGUUCAGUUGGGAGUGAGAGAAUGCAUAAAAUUGAGAAAGGCAGUUUCAUACUUACACUGUUAACAUUUGCUAAAGGUUAUAUGUUGCUGAUGACAGGAUUAUUUGAGGCUAAUUGGUGGAACUGCUGCUGGAAUUGUAUGCAAGUUUGCUUUAGAUUAGAUUGGACAAAAAUAUACUAAGUGUUUAGUGUUUUAAGCAAGUGAAAGAUAGAACUUUGUUGAAAAUUCUGAGGUAAUGUAGCUUGAAACAUGUGUGCUGGCCGAGGGAGUUAGGAGGAAGAGUUCUUGUGUUAUUUUGAAAUUUCCAAGAUAAUUGGUUAUAAAUUUUGUAUAAAACAUCUUAUAACAUCUUGUCCUAGUUUUCAUGUGCAUCUUAUUGAUUUUUUUUAACACUUAAAAAGCUGGUGUAGUGGAAAAAAACCCAAACUACAAACAACUUAGAAUCUGGUUUAGCUUAAAUGGAACAAAUGAAGAGUUCAUUUGCCUUAAUCCUUGAAUAUUGGAUAGAAAAUGAUUUAAUCUUAGUCUAAACUUCUUACAAGACUUUAAACUUGGAAUAUACGUAUAUUUCUUUGGUUUUUGUUGAAAUUUGAUGCUUAAAUUAUAUUAAAAUUGCUGGUAUGAAUGUCAUACUUAAGUCUAUGGGUGGUUUGAACAAAAGUCUUGUGGUUUUAAAAGAGAAAAAGGAGUUUUUCACAAGUGAAAAAUGAGUUUUCAGAUCUUCGGAUUUUACUGACCAGUUUCAGUAAAAUGCUUAUAUCUUGGUGUAGAAAAAUCCGAUUGAGGUGCCGUCAGCGGCAUUUGAAACUAGACUCAUGGGCCUUUGUUUUGUACAAAAUACAAAUGUCAUAUUUUUCCUCCAUGUGUACUGCUGUACGUGAAUCCUCAAAGUAGGUUGUCCAGCUUGAAUGUCCUGUUUUCUUCAGGAAAAUAAAUUUUUGACUUGGAUCGAAUAUUUGACCUAUUUGUGAUUUGAAUCUCUGAAAAGUGUCUUCUGGGAUGUGGUAGUACUAAAAAUCUAUUUUACAACGGUAUAACUUUCAUAAUUUUUCGACUUGUGGAACUCGAGUUGUGAAUUUUUAAAGUUUACUGUUACUGUUCAUCUCAGUUGAUUCCUGAAGCAUAGAAACGGGCUUCUUAACUUUAAAACCUCGAACGGCCUACUUCCAAUCUCUUACCUUGAUUUUUCCACUUCCUUGACUUCAAAUGUAUCCCUAUUGAACUUCUCUCGCUAAUGUAUCUCUCCUUUCCUCAAAGUUUUACGCUUUAACAAGUUAUCUUAAUUAAAGCGGUCAAGACUUGUACUUAACUUUUAGCCACCAUUUCCGAAUUUCCAAGUGAAGCUUACAUGCUAAAAUUGCCUUUUUGUGUGGAUGACACUGAGCCUAGUUGAAGGGCUAUUGUGUUAAGAUUGCUUAUGUAUGACUUUGGAGCUGAGUUGAGGAAAAUAAUGAAGCCAUAAAUGGCUGGAAAAUAGCUAAAUACAAAGGGCAUGCCGCCCAAAUUUUCACUUGAAAGUUAGGCGUGUGUACUCGCGACUUGAGUGAAGAUUUGAGAACGAAUUGAACUUGAAUUGUCUAGGGUUUUCGAGUCUUCUUUCGUAGAGGCAUAUAAGUUGGAAUUUGGCCGAAACUCGUACCCUUGGAAAGAUGAAAGUAGUGAUCACUCGAAAUAUGUUUUUCUCGUCUUUUGAACUCAAAUGCGAAUUCCAAAGUUUUAGUUGCUUCUUUAGCAACACCGAAAGAGCGAGUAUGAAUUUUCUAGAAUUUGAUACGUAACAUAAAUCCUAUCUAAACGAGUUUCAUUUACUUGAUCUGUUUAAAGCGAGACUCUUAAGUGUCGAACCCUAGUUGAUUUCAAGUUUUUAAAUGAUAUUGUAUCGCAGAUUUAGACUCCGACCAAGGAGUUACACCUGAACGUAAUUUUGACAAGCACUAAACCUUUGGUGAGUGCUUCCAAAUACUUGAUUGUACUUGACACUUGUGUUUAAUACUUGAAUAAUGUGAUUACAUGAUAUAUGAGUGGAGUGAUAGGGCAAGUGUGUACUUUAUCGCACUUGCCCUAAUGUGAUUUGUUCUUGGUCAUUGAUUUCAGUUGAAUUGAUAUACAUGCAUAUGAAUUACAUCUUGUCUGGAAUUCCAGAAACCCUGUGGCUAGUUAAUCGAGUCGAGCCGGCAAGGGUCUGGUCGAUUACAUAACGAACCCUGGAUAGUUAAUGUUGUCGAGUAGAGUGUUAUCUCCUCGACUAAUCGGUAUACUCGAGUAUUACCACCAGUGUUUAUCUUGGAAUUCGGGCCCAGUAACGGGUUUGGUUGGUGGACGGAGAUUGGAGUUAAGUGGUGUACUACUGGACUAGUUACCUGACUUGAAAGUUGACGGAGUGUCAACUACUAAUUGAUCAAGCGAUGAUGGACCUGGUUUACAAAAAUGAUUGUAUCCUUUUACGUGAAAUACUGAAUAUGAAAUGUUGGUUGUACAAGUUUAUUGCUUAUUUCCUUGACUUGUUAUGCUCGCUAUUUUACUAUUAUUAUAUAUUUACUGUUAAUUAAUGGUCAAUUUGCUAUUUGGAACAUCACUGAGUUUUAGCUCACUCCGUUAGUUUUGUUUUCCUUACAGGGGGUACGAGUGAGGCGUGAGACUUGUAAAGACUAGCGUAGUCUAGUUGUUUUGACUUUUGAAAUUGUACUCGCGCUAGCACCCGAUUAAGGUUGAUUGUUCUCGAUUUGUAAACACUUUAAAGUAUUUUGGUGUGUAGAAACCUUGUAUCUGGGGUUGAACAUCAAUGUAUAUAUGAUGUUAAUUAGUUGCUAUGGAUGUAAGUUAUUUUCUCGAGUUACGAGUGAAUGAAUCCUGACGAGAGUUGGGCAGGCGACUCGCUAAACCCUAGGGUACGCUCUAGGGGGAGGUGGGGUCAUCACAGAAAGAGGGCAGGCAUCUGAAAAUCUUAGCACUAGUAGAUGAUAAAGGUUUAUUUUACAUAUUUUUAAGUGCAUUUUAGUAGUUAAUUCUGGUUUCAUUAUUUAGUUUUAUGACUAAAAUAACUAGGUUUUGGGUAAAAAUAUACAUUUUUGGUAAAAGUGGCUAAUAUUGCAUUUCUUUUGAUUUUAAUGGUAAAAAUUUCAUUUUCAUGCAGGAUUAAUGAUUCAAUCACCAACGGAUGUCAAGUGAGAUGAAAAGUAGAUAAUUGGUAAUGAAUUCAAGUGGUAAAAAAAGAAAUGAAGUGAAAAACAUUUAAAUGAAGAAAUGCAGUUCAAGACAGUUUUGACACUCUUCGGUAUUUCGACUAUAUCUAGAGCUACAUAUAUCAGAUUGAGGUGAUAUUUAUACCAUUUUGAAGCUAAGAGAAAGAUCUAGAUUUGGUAUGAAAACAUCGAAAUCCAAUUCUGUUGUUUUCAUAGACAAAAAAUCGAAAUGCAGAAGUAUUCUACGGACGAGAAUGAAACAGGGGUUUGAUCAGGUGAUAGUAUUUGAUCAUAUCUUAGUUUACAAAGCUCCGAUUUGGAUGAUUCUUGAAGCAUUGUAAAGCUAAUUCAAAGGGCUACAACUUUUUGUAUUUUACACAAAAACUAGUUCGACUUUCAUCAUGGAGAAAAUCGCAGCAGAAGUGAAGCAAAAAACACAGAGUUGAAAACGUGAGUUGACAAAACGCGACUCCAAGCCGCGUUUUCUGAAGUCGCGUUUUGUAGCCGAAAUUCUGUAAUUUGUUCAACCAUUUCUCUUAUGUUCACACACUUUCCAGCUAUUUUUGGUAAGGAAAUUCGGCUGCACAUGCUUCAGAAGACAAAAAGGAAGAGAUAUAGCCAAAGUUCCAAGUAAAAAACCAUGGUUUUUGACUUUCUUAACAAAUUGAGAUUUGAGAAUCAUUAGAGUGGAACUUUGACCGGUGGAAUGGAGCUGAUAUCAGUUUAUAUACAGAGAUAUUUGGGAGGUCUAUUAUCAUACGGGAGAAGCUUGGAGAGUGCAGAUAUGUAGUUUUUUCAUUUUUUUAGUGUAGGAUAGUUUAGCUAGUUAACUCAUCCACUCUUGUAUGUUGGCUAGAUUAGGAUGAAGAUGGAGAUGAAGAAGAAGGAGUUGAAACUCAAGUGACAUGGGUUAUCUUUUUUCCAACUCUUUAUCUUUUGUAUUGGAUUCUUAAAUAUGGUUAAUAUGCAAGUUUUGGAUUUCAUGUUUAUUAGAUGUCUUUAAAGUUUAUGCCUUGGGUUUGGUUGAACUUUCUAUGAUUGCUAGUGUUUAUUAUUUGGUUAUUUGAUGCCAUUAUUUUGAAUAAGUUAUUUAGCACUUUAGCUCUUUGAAAUCAUGAUUAAUUUGGUACCAUUGAUUGUGAUUAUCUAAGGUGUUGUUUUUGCAAUAAAAAUUGAGAUUUAACACUGGUUCAAGAAGUGCUAAACAUAGGGAGUACACUCACGAGAGUAGAGGUGCACCUAUGUGGUUUUAGUGAUUAAUUUCAUGUAAUUUCAUUAAAGAAAUGAACUUGUAACUAAUUUCAUAACCAUGAGAAUAGGUAUGGAUUAGUUAUAAGUAUAGUUGAUUCACUACGAAAGUAGGUUUCAUAUGCAUAAGGAAAUUACAUCAUAACUAACCUAGAUAGUAGUGCUCAAUGAUCCAAAUAUAGCACUUGUAUGAGUAGUUAGGUAUACCAUAAUCUAAGUAGCUUUCAUUUGUUAUUUUGCAUAAGUUCAAUAGGUUUCAUUUCUUAUAAUUCAUUGAUAGUCUAAAUAAUAGAGAAGUUUUAGUAACACUGGUAAUUGUUCAAUUUUUCUCGUGGGAUCGACCCGAUAUAUACCUUAAACUACUAGUUGACCUGUAUACUUGUAGUGAAACGGAUGUAUUUCGGAUUUUUUGAACUUGUACAUAUAUUAAAAUCCCGUCAAGUUUUUGACGCCGUUGCCGGGGAAGAUUUGGCAAUAUCGGUGUGAAGAACAACUUAUUAGUUUAGACAUUUUAUUAGUUAUCGACUGUGUGUUAAUUGUGUCUAGUCAGUCUUGAAUUCAUUUUCUUUUAUUUUUUUGUGUUUUAAGUGUGUAUGUGUUUUAUAACCUAUUCUGCUUACUAAUCUUGCUCUUAAGUUGUUUAAAAAUAAUUUUAGGUAAUGAGGAGGAUAGGUCAAUUUGGAGAACAAUGCUUGAGAAAUGGAAGAUUGGCAAUGGGUGGUUACCGAGUGUAAAACUCCUUCAAUAGAGAUAAUAAAAAAUUUACUGAAGGUGUGUCUUUUGAAGAUGGGUUGAAGUGUUUAAAGGCAAAAUUUGAUGUAAUUAUGUUACAAGUUCAAAUGGACACAAUUAUGCAUGAAAUUGAGCAAGGGAGAAAUGUUAAUGCUUUUAAUUCUUAUCAUGUGAUUUAUGACUUAUGUGGAGAUUAUCAUACUACUCAUACAUGUAGACAAACACAAAAUAUGGAUUAUUUUGAUGAAUUAGAACAUUACAAUCCUUAUUUUGAUCAAUAUAGUGCUAAUUGAAGCAAUUCUCCUGCCUAUAGUUGGGAUAAUCAAUGUACUUAUAGCAAUUCUUCAUAAUUUUAUGAUUACCAACUUGAAUGUGUCCAAUAUGAAUCAAAACCAUUUUGGGAGUUGACAAUAGAAAGAGUAGCUAAUGAUUCUAAACCAUCUUGAAAGGUAGCUUUAGAAAAAUUAACUAAUACAACUUCCGACCGUUUUGAUAGGAUUGAGGAAAGAAUAGAUGAAUUAGCUUCUCACUUUGGUAAAAUACAUGAGCAAUUGAAUGUAUUGUGUGAAGUUAUUUCUUCUAAUAAUUUACAAAAUGACCCUAGCAUGAAUGGUAGGAUGUAGUAUGUGAAAAAGGAUUGCAUUUUGAUGAAAAUGAUGAAUCUCAAUGGUGUUUCAAUGAGCAAAUAUCCAUUUCACAUGAUAAUAUCUUUGGAACUAACCUUGAACCUCAAGAUGUGAGUUUUAAUGACUCAUUUUUCACUCCUCUUGAGGAGUGUAUUGAAAGUAUAGGUUCUAAAGGUAUUGUUGCCUAAGAUAUCCUCAUUACAUCUCCUUUGGUAAGUUCUCAAAUGGUGCAUAUUCAAGAUAAUAUCUAUGAAACACUUGGGUUAGGUAAGUCACUUCCAUCUCUCAUAUCAUUAGAACACGUGACUUUUACUAUAAAGUCACCUUUUAAUGAUCUACCACGACCUAAAAUGGUGGAUUAUUCUUUAAUCAAGCCUCCUUGAAAAAUGAGAUUCAAUAGUCGAGCCAACAACUAUAAAUAAAAACGCUUGUUGGGAGGCAACACAAUAUUUUGGCUAUUUAUGUUAUUUUGGGGUGAUUUUAUGUUUAAAGUAUGAGUUUGAGUUAUUUUAUUAUUUUUCAUUUGCAGGUAUUGGAAAUGAAAGCAAAAGUGACCAAAUGAGGUGAAAAAGGCGAAAUUUGAUCAAGGAACUCAACCCCUCGAUUUGAGUAAUUGUUGUUUUUGAUUCGUUAGAAUGGGUUAAAAUGCAUGUUUUGAUCAUUUUAUAUAUGCAUGCAGUGAGUAUUUUAGCAAACAAAUGAUCUAUGAUGCAUUUUGAAAAAUUGGGAUACCAUUAGUAAUUAUUCAAAAGUUGCAUUUCUGCAUAAUUUUGCAGAAGAAAACGCGCCUCUGAGUCGUGUUUUCAUAGAAACACGUUUUCAAUUCUGCAUCGGUAUCAAAGAAAAUGCGCCUUCAAAAGAAAUCGCGUUUUCCAGCUUGUUCAGAAACCAGAAACGCGCCUUCAAAUACGCGACUAUAAGUUGCGUUUUGCCACAGAAUUGCGUUUUUUAUGCUGCAACUUUUGUGAAGAAACGCAACUUCACUACACGCAGCUUGAUGGUGCAUUUUGAUGAGUCGUGUUUUCUGAGCACGUUUUUUUUUAAGAAAAAUGCAGGUUCCUUGAUUCUCUUUUUUUUCCUUAUAUAUUUUCUUGUACCUUGAGUAGUUUAUUGUAUAUUUUAUAGAGGUACAUCACCAAAACAAAGGCUUGAAGUUACAGAUCACCAUUUUGUUUAUUAAACCUUUGUUAUCACUUUUGUUUCUCAUUUUUCAUUUUUAGGUUUAUACAACUAAUGGUUAUUCAAUGGAACUCAUGAAGUAUUGAAGAUACACGGAAAACGGAUCUUGAAGCUUCAUAUUCAAUCGCAACAAUAGGGGAGUAUUACUUUCUUUAUCUUGGUUUUCCUUUUUACACAUUGAGAACAAUGUGCAUGUUAAGUGUGGGGGGGGAGAAUUGAGAUUAUAUACAUUAUAUGUGAUUGACUUAUUAGUUGUAAAUAUUGGACUUGUGUUAAAAUUCAAAAUUUUUCUUGUCCAAAAUUGCAAAGUUGCCCCAAAAAUGUUUCAAUUUUUUUUUCAAUUUAUCUAAGGGGUAACAAGUUUCUUACCAUUAGUAGUUCAAAUUCUUUCUACAUUUGAGAUAAAUAUAUAUGAUUUGGAAACUUCUUUUCUCAUUUAACUUGGAAAUGACUAUUAUGUGAUUAGCCCCUUUGGGAAAAAAAAAGAGACUAUUAUGUGAUUAUAAUUUUGCAUUUGUAAGAAAGUAUAUCUUUUAAAGUAGAGAAAAUUAUGCCUAUUUUUUUGCAUAUUUAAUGAAAUUUCUUCUCUUUAUUUGAUUUUAUAAGUUAAGUAAUAAAUUUGGUCAAUAAGUGCAAUAUUCUUCUCAUGAUUAUUCUUUUGAGAAAAUUAUUAUUAUCUUUGCUGUUAAAAAAAAAAAGAAAAAAAGAGAAAAUGAAAAAAAAGAAGAAAAAAGAAAAUAAGAUUUGUUCUACUCCAAUGAUUCUUGUACUUAGUAACCGUGAGUCUUCAUCUACAAAUACUGACUUUCGCAUAAAACAGUACUUGAAUUAAGAGUAUGCAAAGCAAUUUGAGCAUGUGAAGUGUUGAGUAACCGGUGAUAUUCAUCUAAAAAUAUCGAUCCUCGCGUCAAAAAGCACUCUCACGUCUUAAGUAAUAUUUAGAUAUGUUAUAUGAAUAAAUAUCUUUUUAAGUAGAAUAAAAAGAUGAUCAUAAGUUUAGAAAACAUUUUAUUGACCAUAUGAAUUACUUGCUUGUAAAAUUGGGUAAGGAUGAAAAAUUGAUUUGAAUUUGUUAUAAUGGUGGUAUAAUUAGCUCUCCUUUACUUGAUAUUAUGAGUACUUGAUGAGUAAUGAAAGAUUGCAUAAUGGUUAUUUACUUGUUUUGAGAAAAUGAAGUUGAUAGUGCAUAUAUGUUUAUUUUCAAAAUUUUGAAUCAUUGUUGGUUUGUAUUUCUGAUUGCUUGAGGAAAAGCAAUGGUUCAAGUGUGGGGGUAUUUGAUAAGGGUUUAUUUUACGUAUUUUAAGUACAUUUUAGUAGUUAAUUCUGGUUUCAUUAUUUAGCUUUAUAACUAAAAUAACUAGAUUUUGGGUAAAAAUAUACAUUUUUGGUAAAAGUGGCUAAUAUUGCAUUUCUUUUGAUUUUAAUGGUAAAAACUUCAUUUUUCAUGCAGGAUUAAUGAUUCAAUCACCAACGGAUGUCAAGUGAGGUGAAAUGUAGAUAAUUGGUGAUGAAUUCAAGUGGUAAAAAAAGAAAUGAAGUGAAAAACGUUUAAGUGAAGAAAUGCAGUUCAAGACAGUUUUGACACUCUUCGUAUUUCAACUAUAUCUAGAGCUACACAUAUCGGAUUGAGGUGAUCUUUAUACCAUUUUUAAGCUAAGAGAAAGAUUUAGAUUUGGUAUGAAUACAUCGAAAUCCAAUUCUAUUGUUUUCAUGGACAAAAAUUCGAAAUACAAAAGUUGUAUUCUAUGGACGAGAAUGAAACAGGGGUUUGACCAGGUGAUAGUAUUUCAAUCAUAUCUCAGUCUACAAAGCUCCGAUUUGGAUGAUUCUUGAAGAAUUGCAAAAACUAAUUCAAAGGGCUACAACUUUUGUGUUUUGCACAAAAGCUAGUUCGGCCUCUAUCAUGGAUAAAAUCGCAGCAGAAACGAAGCCAAAAACACAGAGUUGAAAACGCGAGUUGACAAAAAGCGAUUCCAAGCCGCGUUUUCUGAAGUCGCGUUUUGUAGCCGAAAUUCUGUAAUUUGCUCAACCAUUUCUCUUAUGUUCAAACCACUUUCCAGCUAUUUUUGGUAAGGGAAUUUGGCUGCACAUGCUUCAAAAGACAAAAAGGAAGAGAUAUAGCCAAAGUUCCAAGUAAAAAACCAUGGUUUUUGACUUUCUUAACAAAUUGAGAUUUGAGAAUCAUUAGAGUGAGACUUUGACCGGUGGAAUGGAGCUGAUAUCAGUUUAUAUAUAGAGACAUUUGGGAGGUCUAUUAUCAUACGGGAGAAGUUUGGAAAGUGCAGAUAUGUAGUUCUUCCAUUUUCUUAGUGUAGGAUAGUUUAGCUAGUUAACUCAUCUACUCUUGUAUAUUAGCUAGAUUAGGAUGAAAAUGGAGAUGAAGAAAAAGGAGUUGAAGCUCAAGUGACAUGGGUUAUCUCUUCUCCAACUCUUUAUCUUUUGUAUUGGAUUCUUAAAUAUGGUUAAUAUGCAAGUUUUGGAUUUCAUGUUUAUUAUAUGUCUUUAAAGUUUAUGCCUUGGGUUUGGUUGAACUUUCUAUGAUUGCUAGUGUCUAUUAUUUGGCUAUUUGAUGCCAUUAUUUUGAAUAAGUUAUUUAGCACUUUAGCUCUUUGAAAUCAUGAUUAAUUUGGUACCAUUGAUUGUGAUUAUCUAAGGUGUUGUUUUGCAAUAAAAAUUGAGAUUUAACACUGGUUCAAGAAGUGCUAAACAUAGGGAGUACACUCACGAGAGUAGAGGUGCACCUAUGUGAUUUUAGUGAUUAAUUUCAUGUAAUUUCAUUAAAGAAAUUAACUUGUAACUAAUUUCAUAACCAUGAAAAUAUGUAUGGAUUAGUUAUAAGUAUAGUUGAUUCACUACGAAAGUAGGUUUCAUAUGCAUAAGGAAAUUACAUCAUAACUAACUUAGAUAGUAGUGUUCAAUGAUCCAAAUAUAGCACUUGUAUGAGUAGUUAGGGAUACCAUAACCUAAGUAGCUUUCAUUUGUUAUUUUGCAUAAGUUCAAUAGGUUUCAUUUCUUAUAAUUCAUUGAUAGUCUAAAUAAUAGAGAAGUUUUAGUAACACUGGUAAUUGUUCAAUCUUUCUUGUGGGAUCGACCAGAUAUAUACCCUAAACUACUAGUUGACCUGUAUACUUGCAGUGAAACGGGUGUAUUUUGGAUUUUUUAACUUGUACGUAUAUUAAAAUCCCGUCACCGUGAUCAGAGCAACUUUUUACAUUUUCUUUCUUCACUUUCGAUUUUUGUCAGCAGAAUCACUCAGUGUUUCUAGUGGCCUCUUUGCCCUUUUGUUUUUUCCUUGUAUGUCUCUUUCCUGUUUUUACCCUGUGUCUCCUAAGUGUGGUGUGGAAUUUCUGUCUAGAAAUAGCUGACCCUGUCCAUGGAGGGAGAUCUAUCAGAACUUUUAUGGAAAUUUACUCUGGAAGGGAAUGAGCUCUCAGGAGCUACCCUGGAGAUGAAUGACCUGCAUAAUGGAGUGAGAGCUUGUGAAGGUAGUCUUAUAGGAAGAGUUAUAGGAGAGAAAGUGAUUAACUUUACAGGGAUUAAAAGUUUUGUGGCUAUGGCAUGGGGUUAUCCAAGGAAUAUGACAGUGCUGGAACUGGGACCUAAUAUGUUUCAGUUCAACAUCCCGAUUUCUGAUGAGAUGGAAAGAAUUGUUAAUGGGGGACCUUGGGUGAUAGAUAAUCAAGUUUUAGUGUUGAACGGGUGGACGGAAGGGAUAGAAGAAGACUAUAGAGCCUUUAUGUUUGCACCCCUUUGAGUACAAAUCUGGAAUUUACCAGUUCACUGGAUUUCUAAAGAAGUUGAAAAAAAGAUUGGAGCAGUGUUUAAAGAAGUUAGAGAGGUGUUAGUACCUCAAUCUGGAGAGAAAGAGGGCAGGCAUCUAAAAAUCUUAGCAUUGGUAGACUUGUCUAAACCUCUUCUAAGAGGUACUGUGGUUAAGAUUGCAGGAGCUCUUAAGUGGGUAGCUUUUAAAUACGAAAUGUGCCCUGAUUUUUGCUAUAGUUGUUGUAUAGUAGGACAGAGUGAGAGGUCCUGUAAAGAGAGGAGAGUCCUAGGGGGAUGCAAUGUAGAAAACCAAUACGGCCUUUGGUUGAGAGCUGGAAAUUAUAGAAGCUCUCCUCAAAAGAAACCAAAUAGACCUGAUGUGUUAAGCGACAAAAGAUAUUGGUCCUUUCAGAAAGGAGAAAUGGAUGAACAGGAUAAUAGUAGGACCAAAAUGACAAAGAGUCUGUUGGAAACUCUUAAGUCCAUUGGUGAUAGAGGAGAUAGCACUCAGGUUUUAAGGAAAGAUAUGGAGGAUGAUAGGUUAGCAAAAGAUACAGGAGCAUCAACAAAUGUGAUGAGAAGCAAGGAGGAUACGCAAGAUUGCCAGGAGGGUCAGUUGAACCUGGAUAAGAGGAGCCCUGACCUCCCUCUAGUGAUUGAAGUUGAGGAAGAAAUUCAAAACCCAACUGUUGUAGAAGAAAUGGAGGAGGAUAGAGAGGUCGAGAUAUUGAACCUAAAUCAAAAUCAAGAACUUGGGGCCAAUGAGGAGUCAAUAGGGGCUCUAGUGCUCCACCAUGAUUCCCAAUGUACUGAGAGGGUGGUGGAGGUAAUAGAUAAGCAAGCCAAGAGGACAUUUAGGAGGUUGAAGUCCCCAACCAGAACCAGAAAACUUUUGAGGGAGUUAAAUGGCAAAGGAGAGAGCCAGAUGAAUGUUGGGAAGAGAAAGGUUCUGAUUAGGGAUGAAGAGAUGGAGAAAGCUAACCAUGAGGUAGUACAAUGGAAAAAAACUAAGCCCAUGGAGGAAUUGUAUUCUGCUGAGGUGAGGGGAGAGGAGGUAGAGUCCUUCCUUAAUGGGGCCCCUAAAGGAAAAUGAGAGUCAUGGUGUGGAAUUGUCAAGGAGUGGGGAGCCCCUUGACAGUUCCCCAUCUGAGGGGGGUGAAUAACCUCUCCUCUCCAAGUUUGAUUUUUUUUAAGUGAGACUAAAAAUAGGAAACCAGUUCUUGAUAGAAUAGCUAGAGGGCUCAGAUUUGACAAUAAUGUAGUGGUUGAAGCUAUGAAUAGAGCAGGGGGCAUGGCUUUAUUUUGGACUAAGGAAACACAAGUUCUGGAAGUGAACACUACUGCUUUCACAAUAGAGGCUAAAAUUGAAGACACUGACAAUCAAGUUAUCUGGUGGUUUAUUGGAUUAUAUGCUAGUUGUGACCAUAUGAUAAGGAGGGAGCAAUGGAGGGUGCUGAGUAAUAGGAAAGGUUAUGGGGUUCUAGGUACUUGAUAGCUGGGGACUUUAAUGACAUUCUGUCUAAUGAGGAAAAAUGGAGAGGUGUAGUAAGAGAGGAGAGGAGCUUCAGGGAUUUCAAAGACUUUAUUAAUCAAAAUAGCUUAGUGGAUAUUGGGUUUGAAGGACAACCUUGGACGUGGAGCAACCACUGGAAUGAUAAAGAAGAAAUCAGACAAAGACUAGACAGAUAUCUAUGUAGUGUUGAAUGGUUCCAAGAUUUUGAAAAGGUAAGAUGUCAGCAUUUGGACACAUAUGUUUCUGAUCACCACAUGUUUUUGAUAGAAACAGUCCCGACAACAGAAAGGGAAAAACAAAGGUUUUAUUUUGACAAGAGAUGGCUUCAAAGGGAGGGAGUGCAACAAGUGGUUAAGAGAACCUGGAAUAAAGAGGAGCAAGGUUCAAGAAUGUUCAAAAUCACAAAGAAGAUUAAAAAUUGUAGAAUUGAACUCUUGAAGUGGAGGAAUUCUUUCCAAGCUAACUCUAGGAGUAGAAUCAUUGAUCUAAAGAAAGAACUAGAGAGAGCUAGGAACUCAGAGUCUAUCAAUAGGAUAGGAAAUCUGAAUGACAACAAAGAUAAGUUGAGUUCGGCUUAUAAGGAGGAAGAACACUUUUGGGGACAAAAAGCUAGAAUCAGUUGGCUUAGGGAGAGGGAUAAGAAUACCAAGUAUUUUCACACCUAUGUCAAGGGAAGGAAAGCGAGCAAUAGAAUCAGAAAUUUGCAGAGAGAUAAUGGUUCUUGGACAAAAAAUGAGGAUGAGGUAGUGACUGAAAUUUCAUAUUACUUUAAGGAGUUGUUUAAAAGUGGAGGAAGAAGUGAUAUGUUAGCAAUCUUAGAUGGUAUUCCACACUCCAUAACUCAGGAGAUGAAUGAUAAAUUGACCAAAGCAGUGGAGGAAAAAGAAAUUCAUGAUGCUUUAUUUUCCAUGAAUCUUGAAAAAGCUCCAGGACAAGAUGGGAUGACUUCACUGUUUUUUCAGAGAUUUUGGAGUACCAUUAAGAGGGACAUUAUCCCAGCAAUCAAAGCUUUUUUCAAUUCAGGUUUCAUGCUUAAAUCCAUAAACCAUACGGUUAUCUCCCUCAUUCCCAAAAUCUUUCACCCAACCAGUUUAAAAAAUUACAGGCCAAUCAGUCUUUGCAGUGUGCUUUACAAAAUCAUCUCUAAAAUUCUUGCAAAUCGAUUGAAGUCUAUCCUGGACAAAUGUAUAAGCAAGACUCAAUCAGCUUUUAUUUCAGAUAGACAGAUUUUAGAUAAUGUGAUUGUUGCUCAUGAGUACAUGCAUUACCUUAAAAACAAAAGACAAGGGAAAGAUGGUUACAUGGCAAUUAAGUUGAUAUGACAAAAGCUUAUGAUAGGGUGGAGUGGCAUUUUUUGCAGGCAAUGAUGGAAAAAAUAGGUUUCUGCUAUACAUGGAUCAACUGGAUCAAUAGUUGCCUGAAAACAGUGAACUAUUCCUUCAACUGCAAUGGAGAAAUUAAAGGUUUUGUGGCACCAGGAAGGGGAAUACGACAGGGAGAUCCAUUGUCUCCUUAUCUAUUCUUAAUAUGUUCCGAGGGAUUCUCCAAUUUGCUAAGGAAAGCUGAAGAAAGCAGGAGAAUCACAGGAUUGAAAAUUAGUAGGCAAGUACCACUCCUCACCCAUCUCUUCUUUGCAGAUGAUUUCCUCAUCUUUUGUAAAGCUAACAAGCAAGAGACUGUUGAAAUCAUGAAAGUUCUAAAAGUCUAUGAAAUAACUUUAGGGCAGUUGAUCAAUCUUGACAAAUCUGCAUUAUUCUUUAGUAAAAACAUGGACUGUGAGCAAAGAUGAGAGGUAUGCCAAGCUCUAGGAGGAAUGAUGGAAGCAAAGCAAGGGAAAUAUUUGGGACUUCCAAUGGUGAUUUCCAGAACAAAGGAUCAGAUAUUUGGAUUUGUAAGAGAAAACAUAAAAAGAAGACUUCAGAAUUGGAAAAACAAAUUCCUGAGUUCAGCUGGAAAAGAGGUCAUGCUGAAGGCAUUGCAAUGGCCAUGCCUACGUACGUUAUGUCAUGUUUUAAGCUGUCAAGAAAACUUUGCAAUGACAUUACUGCUUUGAUGGCAAAUUUCUGGUGGGGAGAAACCAAUGGAAGGAACAAAAUGCACUGGAUUUCUUGGGAAAGAAUGGCAGUACACAAAAACACAGGUGGUCUAGGUUUCAAGGAUUUGGAAGCCUUUAAUAAAGCACUUUUGGGGAAGCAGGUAUGGAGGAUCCUAACCAAGCCAAACCUUCUUGUCAGCAAGGUGUUGAAGGCUAAAUAUUUCCCUCAGGAAUCCAUCCUACAAUGCACUCCCCCCAAGAAUGCAUCAUGGAUUUGGCAAGGAUUAGUGGGACCAAGAAGUUUACUAGAUGAAGGCUUGAUCGGGAGAAUUGAAAAUGGUAGAAGUACAAAAAUCUGGGAUCAUAAAUGGUUACCAGAGACACUAAAGGGGAAAUCAACUACUUGUAGAACCAGUAGCUAUGAGCUGAAAAUGGUUGAUGAGCUUAUAUGUCAGAAGAGAUGGAACAGGAAUAUCACCUUCAGCAACUUUAACAGAAAUGAUGCCGAGAGGAUUCUCAGCAUCCCUUUAAGCCUCUCAAGGAGGGAAGACAGCUAUUAUUGGCAACCAAUGGCUGGAGGGGAGUAUACAGUUGACUCAGGCUACAAAAUUCUGAUGGAGAAAGGCAGAAGUGUAAGGAGGUGCAACUUUGAGGGAGCUGGAUCAAGCAAUGCAGAAGGAAGUCAACAAAUGACUCAGAUGUGGAACACACUGUGGAGGCUCAACAUUAAACAUAAAAUCAAGCUCUUCAUUUGGAAAUGUAUUAAAGGAGCCUUGCCAGUAAGGGAGGCAGUGAGUAGACAAACACGAGUAGGUGAUCCUAUAUGUACAACAUGUGGUGAGGCACAGGAAACCAUAGAACAUCUUUUGCUAAACUGUCCUCACACGAUGGACAUAUGGAAAUCAGCUCCUAUUCAGUGGGAUGGAGCUAAGAACCAGUAAGGAGACUUCAAGAGAUGGUGGCUUAGAAUUUCAGAAGCAAGGACUAGACCAGAAGGGAAGGAACAUAUCGGUCUGACAGCAAAUAUUUUGUGGCAGGUGUGGAAAGAUAGGAAUAAAAAGGAAUUCGAGAGCUCAGUUAGGUCCACACCGAUGAGAACAGUAGAACGGGCACAUAAAGAAUGGAUGGAACAAGUGGAAGUGAAUCAGCAGAAAGAUAGAAAGAGUACAGAAGAAACAGUCCCUAUGCAUGAACAACAAAGCCAGUGCAAUGAAAAUGAAGGGACAAUAAUUAUAGGAGUGGCAACAGCAAAGCAGCAAGGACAUAACACUCUUGGAAUAGGAGUCACAGUAUGGGAAAUGGCAAGCACUAAAAUUGCAGAUUGGGUGCAAAAGAGAGAAGCCUGGGGAACAAAGUUUUGGAUGAAGCAUUGGCAUUAAAACUGGUUUUGUGUAAAGCUAUGCAACAGCAUUGGAGAAAUGUAAGGCUCAACUUUUGCAACAAAGAGCUAUGGAAACAAAUAACACAGCAACGACCUGCAAAUAGCAAGAUGGCUACACUGCUGGAAGAUAUUUUCAAACUGAAGAGACUGUUUUGCAUGUGCUCCUUUGGAUUGCAAAAGGGAAGAAAAUAUGUUAGAUAGCAGAAAACUGAGUGUAGAUGCCUUAGGCAUUAUUGUGGAUGAGGAAAGACUUUUUCCUUAGUGUUUUUGAACACUUUUUGUAUAGUUCCCUCGAGCCGUUGCUCGCAUAUGUAACUUUUUCAGAUAAUGAAAUUGUCCUAUCAUUUCGACAAAAAAAAAAAAUAUUCAUGCAUAUCAAUGAAUCAUAGACGAAUUAAAUGGAUAUUAUGAUUUUAUUUUAUGAAUUUUUAAAGUGCGUUUGGUUCAAUCAUCGUGAUUGGUUGUGUUUUUCAUCCAUUCUGCUGUAUAUAAAACUAUAGAAGGGUUAUAUAACUAGUAUAUAAAACUAUAAAGGGGUUAUAUAGCUAUUUUAAAAUCUUAUAGGUUCUCAUAUAACAAUAAAUAAAACUACAGGAGAAUUACAUAUAAUUUACGCUACAUUAUAUAGUCUUUCGUUUGUGUCUACUACUCAAUCAACCAUAAAAACCCCUUCAACCCUUACAUCAAAGGACCAAAAACUUUGUGCAAGAUACAAGAAGCAGUAAAAGAAAUGAUUUCGGAGGGAUGUACUUCUAAAAAUGUGUGUGUUAUUGGUGCAGGUCCAUCAAGUUUAGUGGCUGCUAGGGAGCUAAGAAAAAAAGGGCAUGGUGUGGUAGUUCUUGAACAAAAUCAUGAUAUUGGAGGGCAAUGGCAUUACCAUCCAAAUAUUGAAGACGAGGAUCCUUUAGGAAAGUGUCCUAUCCUAAAUGUCCAUAGUAGCAUUUAUGCAUCUUUACAGGUUAUUUCUCCUAGGGAAACCAUGGGUUUUAUGGAUUUUUCAUUCAGAGUGCGGGAGGGGAGAGACAAUAGGAGAUUUCCUAGACAUAAAGAAGUUCUCAUGUACUUGAGAGAUUUUUGCGAGUGGUUUGAACUAAAAGAUACGAUCAGAUUCAACAUUAGGGUCGACUAUCUUGGAAUGUUAAAUCAUGAAGAAUGCAAAUGAUGAUGGCUUGAAAUGGAUAGUGAAAAGCAUUGAGAAGAAGAAGGCUGGUUAUGAUGAUGAUGAUCAGAAGGUGGUGAUGGAAGAAUUGGCAGUUUUGGGUAGUGUUAUGGGGAUAAAAUUCGAUCCUCAGCAGACAUUGGUUGUUAGGAGGAGAAAUUUGUGUAAACAUUGUGCACAAUGAAUGAUGGCAAAAAAUUAAUAUGCCCUCCCAAAGAAUAGUUGGACACAAAGCACUUUUAACCUACAAGGCCAGUUCAGUAAAAUUGAGUCCUUGAACUUAUGUUUUUCUCCUAUUUCCUUCUUAUUAUAAACUGGACCAUAAAUUUUAAACAAUGACCAAGGUUUUUUUCUUGGUUGAAAAAGUGUUACUAUAGUCAAUUCAUCCAUGACAGUACAGCUUUUGAUUGUGUUGUUAACUGCCAGAAUGUUGUUGGCUAUGACAUUUGACAAAACAUUCUGGCUAAUUUAAUUCCUAUUACUAUCAUUGUUAUUGGUUAUUGAAUUACGUUUAUUUACUCUUUCAUCAGUUCAUAUAGUAAUAUGACAAAAAACAUUUAGAAUAACAUUGUAAUACUUAAAAAAAUAAAGAAAAAAUUGUCGUUUGAUCCUAGCUACACUUCUUCUCUCCCUUGUGUUGCCCUUAGCCUUCUAGUUCUUGACAUCUUUACCUAUAGUAUCUAACAUCUUAAGCAUAAGCUUUUUAUUUUCCAAAAGGGAUAAUUUCAGAAACCACCCUUGAGGUUUCUGACAAUUUCACUUAGCUCUCUCCAAUUUUAGAAAAUUACAUUAACCUCCCUCGAUUCAAUAAAAUGACUGCAAUAUCCUCUACUUAAUAGAUAAUUUACCACAUAUGUGGGAUACAAAAACCAAACCAAAAGUAAAAGAAAAUAUAAAAACCUGUAACAAUUCGUCAUCAUCCCUAACCCUACUUUAAUUAACAACAGUUUCUUUUCUCUUUCCCUCCCUUUUUUUCUAUCUCUUAUGAUUCUUUCCUUUCUACCUAUAACCCCACAGUCUCUUCCACCCAUCAACUACACCACCAUGCAAACCUACCCGAAGUGUUUAUUUCUUGUCUAUUUCUCUCUUUCUGUAGUACUUAACUAUCAGCCCCCUUGUUUAUUUCUUCUCAUGUUAUAAUUUGCAUAUAUUAAAGAAUCAAAAUUUCCAAAAUUACAAAUUGAUAGAGCAAAUGAAAUUUCACUGUCAAAUUAGAUGGAGAUGAUGAAGAUGGUUGUGAUAGAGAGGAAAAAAAUGAAAUUAAUGGGCUAUGGUUGGAAGAGAAAAAUGGAUGACUUUGGGUUAUGCUAUUAUGUCUAUUACACACUAGAAUCUAAUAUCUUCAUUUAGUUUCAUUUUUGUUUGAUUUACAAGUAUUGGUGGUGGUUCGUCAUAAAGAUUAGUUUCUCUGUUCUUGAUGCCAUUGGAGUACGAGGUUGCUCUUGGCAUAGACAUCAAUAGCGGUUGGCUAGAUCUUCUGUUGAAGGAAGGUGAUAUGCGAUAGGUGUUGGGUUCAUAAUUUGAGGUGUGAGAUUAGCCAAUAGACAAAAUAUAGUGUUAAUUUGGGACAAGAAGCUUUUGAGGAUAUUUUAGUUGGUGGUGGUGGUUAUGGUCUAUUUGUAAAGUGAUUCGGGUAGAGUUUGGUAUUUUGAUGAUGCCAAAAUUGAUAGAAUUUGGGGAUUAAGUUGGAGUGCUAUUUUGGUAACAUUUUGGGAUUUUAGUGAUACCAAAAUUGAUAGAAUCUGGGAAUUAACUUGGAGUUUGCUUGAAUGGUUGAUGAGGUUUUAGGUUUACAAUUAUCAUGGAAGCAUAGCAAAUUUGGAUAAAAGUAUUUGUUACUUUUUUUUUGGUGUUAAAUUGAUCACUAAACCUUUUUUUCACUUUCUUUUGAUGUUAUGAUAUUUCAUAAUGGUAUUUUAGGAUAUUUAAGUAUAAUUCUAGUCUAAUGGGUCUAUAAUGUUACUUAAAUAGUAAAAGCAAGGGAGAUCAAUGUAAUUUUCUAAAAUUGGGGGGAGCUGAGUGAAAUUAUUAGAAACCUCAAGGGAGGUUUCUGAAAUUAUCCCUUUCCAAAAUUAGAAUUCAUUUGGAAUUUCAAGGUUUAUCUUGAAUAACUUUUGCAAUACCUUCUUUUCCAUUAGUUUAAGGCAAUUACUUUCAGAAUAUUUACACUAUAUGUCAAUUUUGCUUUGUAGUAUCCUGAAUCCUGAUAGAUAUGCAGAUUACAUGGACUUACCACAUCUACAAGAGUGGAGGAAGGUGCGAUGCAUAUCGGUUGUAAGAAAUUCAUUUGUCAACCUAGAAACUUAUCGUGAUUCAUAUUAUGAUGAUUAGAGAUCCUUCAAGUAGCUUAUGAAAGCCCUCACUGCACUCAACAUGGAGUGGAUCAUGCAAUGACUCUCCGAAGACACACAAAUUUUUUUAUGUUAAAUAUUAUUGUUACAUUGGAAAUUUUGGUAUUAUCAUUGUUAAGCUCUUCUUCUUUGUUCUUUCCCUUUUUCCUUUUCUUUUUUCAAAGAAAGGCAUUGUAUCACCAUGUUGUGAUUAUGUUUUGAGUGCGAAAGAUGAUGCUUUAUUCAGAUGCUCAAAAUAUAGCAAUACAACCCAAAAUUUCUCAAUAUGUUAUUAAAACAGAGGAGACUUACACAAGGUUAUUGAAAACCCAAUGAUUUGUCCAUUCAAAUUAUACAAGUUCCUUUCUUUUUUUUUUUUAGUAAAUAAUAAAAAGUAGAAUUAUCUCAAGAAAAAGAAAAUUUGGGAGAUGAAGUCGGAUAGGAUUGUUAGAAUCUAAUGAUUGCCGUCAAUAGACAAAUAAGUUGGUGGUUAAGCAUGCAUUUGCACAUUGCCCAAAAGUAAUACACCAAAUUCAUACCACAGGUUGAAAUGGAAGCGCAUGGAAUCGGUGUAGACAAUGUGAUACUACCAUGGUUCAAAGUUGUGGUCGCGGUCGCGGUCAUGCCUCGAACCAUUUCAUAUCGGUUUUGGCAUACUAGUCACGGUUUCGGUGAUACGUAAAUUUUGAAUAUUUAAUAUUCUAAAAAUUGUGAAUUAUAUUCAAAAAUAUGCUAAACAAAAAUAAUAAAAAAAAUUAGCAAAAAAAAAUCUGUAAAAUGUAAAUUUGCGAGUUGAUUCGGGAUGAUUCGAGUCGACUCGGCCAAAAUUAUCCGUAUCGAAGACAUCUCGGCCGAGUUCUUGGUGAGUCAAGUAUCUUGGAAUCAUCUUGUUCCGGUGUCGUAUCAAAAGGGUCCGUUCUGAUAACGACUCGGCCGAGUCAUCUCGGUGUCAACCGAGACUUUGAUCCAUGGAUACUACUAACAUUAAACAGAUUUCAGAUCACGAAGAAAAAACAACAGAAAUUAGAGAACAGUCAUUUCAUCAGCUAUAAAGAAAUGUUUCACUGCUUCAUUGCAGCUAAGAAGACCACUCAGUAAAGCAACACCUAAAGGUAACCACCAGAUUUCAUACUCAAGACACUUGCAAAUUUUCACAAUAUAUUGCAGCAUUAUUAUAACAAUUUGAUGCAAGUAGUAAGAAAACAAGGUAAUGAUGAGUGGGUAGCCACAUCUUUCAAGAGAUGAGAGUAAAUAAAAGUGAAGCCAGGAAUCAAGUUAACCAAAAACGAAAUCCACUGGCACUAACAAAAAUCUUUUUUGCGUUCUUCAGAUACGACUACUUGCAAAAUAGAAAUCCUAGCAAGCCCACCAUAGAAUAGUUGCGGGGCCCUAAAAAAAUCUUAAUAUGACAAUACCAUCAGAUAGUAAGAACAGCCCUUGAAGAUUGUAACCCCGCAGCAUGAUUAUAAGAUCUUAUCUUGACAAUACCAUAGAACAGUUGGUUUCAUAGAACUGGAAUAGUAUAAGAAACAAUAAUUCAAUUCCCAUCUGUGACAGCCACCUUAGUCGAAUAUUCAAUUUACACUAUAUGGCCCGUGAAAAUUCAACUAAAAUACUGAAAUAUUUCUAGAUUAAUAAUUCUUAGGGUGCAUUUGGUUCUACAAAAUUGGAAUUGAAUUAGAAUUGGAAUUCUAUAGAAUUAGAAUUCUAGGAAUUGGAAUUCCAAAACGUUGGAAUUCUUUUAUUUGGGAAAUGCAUAGAAUUGAUACAAAAUUCAUUUGGAAUUCCAAAUUCUUUGUUUGGAUGCGAGAAGAAUUGAUUAAGAAUUAGAAUUGUUUCCAUCUAACAUUUGCUUACAUAAAAAUUUUCUUUUUUCCUUUUUCGUGUGAAAUAAUUUUUUAAACAUUUAGCUAAUCGUUACUAAAGUUUCAAGGAAAAAAUCAAUUAAUGCCUUUAAUAAUUUAUUUUUUUCUUGCAUUUAACCAAUUGUUAUUAAAGCUUUAAAGAAAAAAACCAAUUAGUUCCUUUUCUACAAAAAAAAAAUAGUAUUACUCUUGUUUCCUUUAUUCUUAAUUAAAUUAUAUUAGAUAAAAAACUAAUUGGGGUAUGUAAGAGAACAAGAUAAAGUUCAUUGUGUAUGCAAGUAAAGCUUCUGGACAAUAAUGAACAAGAAAGUAACUAUUCACAAAAUAAAAACAAGAAAGUAUGAAGUCUAAAGAAUCUCUUAACAAGACCACAUUAACAUGCCUUUUUCAUGCAGACACGUUUGACCCAAAACUUCAAGAACAGUUUUGAACAAAAACCUGCAUCACUUGUUGCCAACAAACCAUAAAUAUGUCAUCUUGUGCAAUUCGUUGAUUUUUAAAGAGAAUAUUAUCAGUAGAAAGGUGUGCAGCCAAACGUACACAAAUCCGCAUGCAUAAACACAUAUGUAAAUCCAGUGAAAUAAUCUGAUAUUAAUUACAUGGUUCAUGGUUGUACAAGUGAAGUUGCUCCAGUCCCUACAAGAGAGCUUCUUCGACCUUUUGCAAAGAAUGCUGAAGAUCAUAGAUUCUCACAACUUGCUGCUAUAUUUAAGGGUCUAGUUGUCUAUCGACACCAAACAAACAUCAAGCCAUAUACAACAUGUUUUGCACCUUUAAGUCGCAAACUGAGAGACCUGAAAGCAAGAUUCAAAUGAUAAAAGCAAAUUACCUCACAAUUCACCUAAAGAAAGUACAGGUCAUGAUCAGUCCAGCAAAAAUGUAAAAGUCAACAAUCACGUGUUUACAAGCAAAAUGGACAUUCUUAGCCAGCAAAAGAAGAAAUAACUUUGUGGGACAAUCGCAUGUUUAGACAAAUUGAAUAUGGAAUGCAAAUGAAGACGAGACUCAUACUUAUCGGGCUUUCUUUUCUGUAUCCAACAAAUGAUUUGCUAGCUUCUUUAUUACCGUCAUUUUAGGCUAAAUCGAUCUGCUAGCUUAAUAACUGAUGUAAGAAAUAAACUGGUUAUCAUAAUUCAUAACUUAGCAAAAGAAGAAUAAAACAAAUCGCAGCAUAACAGAAAUAAGCCUUAAGAGAUCAUGAGCUGAUAACAGAAAUCGCAGCACUCAUUUACCAUGGACCGUUUACUGCCGGUAUAUCAUUUUAAUGCUGAGAAGCAUCUUCAAUACCUUGACAAGUAAAACUGAUCACAAGCCUCUUCGUAAAUAAGAAAAGGGCCAAUAGUCACAAAAAGAAUAAUACAUUAGGGAAAUGAAGUCUGAAGAGGUAGAACAAAAUGAUAAAACAUGAUCCCCUGUAGUUGUGGUAAGCAUUAAGCAGAAGAUGGGUUUUAGCUGGAAUUUUUGUUAUCAGCUCAUGAUCUCUAAAAACUAGGACCACAUUAACUAAUUAAAAUGAAAUAAAGAAGAAUAGGGCAACAGAGUGCUACCUUUUUUUCUAUCCUCGUCCCAACGUUGAAUUAGAAGCAAAAAAAUAGUAGUAAAUUUAUAACAUUAAUGCCAAACAUUAUCAGAGGAACAACCAAAAAAAAAUCAAUCUUUGAUUGGCAAAAAUUUAAACGUGAAUAUACCAUCAUAAACCCUAAAUUUGUCGAGAAUUGAGAAUUGAGGGAGCGGAAGGAGAGUGAGGACGAGAGGAUGCGACGGCGAUGGUGGUGACGGCAAUGGAAGCGGCAGCAAAGGUAAAAGCGGGAGGCAUAAUUCAAGAUAGAUAGGAAACGACAGAAAGGAGACCAAAAUAUAACUCAAUUUGUAAAUUUCACCCACUUGAUGUUGGGCAGAGGGAGGAAAAGAGGGAGGAAAGGCUUGGAGGGGCUAUGGCAGAGGUGCAGGGACAAGGAGGAGGCAGCGGCGGCGGCAGAGAAUGUUAGAGCAGAUGGCGAUUCACUUAAGAAGACAGAGAAAGAAGCCAGCUUUGUCUUUUUUUUAAUCCAACUUUAUAGUUGACCCGUUUUUGAGUUUUUACCCGUUUAAAGUCCGUGAGUUGAGCCGAAUGAAAAUCUGGCCGUAGAACUGGAAUUGGAAUUCUUUGGUCUAGCCAAAGAAUUGGAACCAUGGAAUUCAAUCGAUAUGGAAUUGCAAUUUGAUUCUAAUUCUAUAGGAAAGGUAGUACCCAAACAUAAGAAUUAGAAUUGGGGAUCCAAUUCCAAUUCUAAACCCCAAUUUCAUGGGGAACCAAACAUACCCUUAGUGUUCCAUAAAAAAAAAAUUUCUAGAUUGAUUAAUCUUGCGUGGCACAAUAAAUUCCACCAUGCAAAAUUCACAAUAGUAGUAUCUAGAUUGUGGAAGAGAAAAUCAUGCUGGCUAAUUUAUUUUUAGCCUUGCGCAGCAACGAGUGAAUUUCUCAGGAACAAGUAUCACUAAAUGAAUAUAUAUUUGUCAAAAGUCUGAUUCCUGAAUUUUAACAAUCCACAACGAGUAGACUGUCCAGCAUGAUCACACAAAAAAAAAGUACCAUGUGAUGAAAAUUAUCCGAUGAAAACAAAUCAAAGAAUUAUUUUGGACCAUUUUGAAUUAUCUCUCUUCCUCACAACUUUAAAGCCAAUGCUAAAUGUCCUCAGCAAAGGUAGAAUCUUGAUGUGGAGCAUUUGAACAAGUUUAGAUUUUGAGUACCUAACCAGGUUAUUUAAUAUCUUCGACAGUCCAACCAAAUAAAGAAUCCUGACAUAGACAUUUUAGCUGAACUCAGUAUUAUGCUGUGAUUAAUAUCAUAACUCACAAACCACUCUUACAACUCCAGAAACAAGUAACCAAAGUCACCACUCCUGCAACAAACAAGGGAUUCAUCAUCAGAAUCGUAAUCAUUAAAAAAAAUAACAUGAAAGUGUAAAAGGCAAAUUUUCAUGCAAAUAUAUGUUAAAAAAUGACCCAGUAAAUCCUCUCAAGGAAGAGGAAGUAAACAUACUUUUCUUUUGGGGCAAAAGAUCUUCUUUAUUGAUAUAGCCAAUAAGAUUGUACAAAUUAGGCAGGAUACUUAGACAUAACACAUGAAUAAUUCCAUUUCUAGCUAUUGCUUAUAUCUAUCAACAGAAAACAUAGAAAAACCAACCACUUUUAAACCAUUUAUGAGAUAUAACCCACUCCAUGCCAUUACCAGGUCCUAGUUGUCCUUCGUUUUAGUUAUUCCCCUGUAAGACCCAACCGGUCCAGGAACAUCACUAAUAAUAGCCGAAAUAAUUUGUACAUUAAGCUCAACUCUUUUCUGUAAAAUGACUAUAAGUUACUUGAUUUCCAUACAUGGUACAAGGUACACGCUAGAGCUAGUCUUCUUGUGUACAUAGAACCAAACACAUCCUUAAAAGUUUUUAGGAGUACAUGGAUUGUAUUGAUAUGAGAAUAACGGUGGGAGUUCUUUGUUCAUCUUCCUUUGGAUGGUUUGACGCCAUAUUGUGUGAUAACUUCAGAGAUGAGAAUUCUAAAGUACUUUGUAAAUUUUAAGAUCAAAAUUCCUUGACCUAUUGUAUACAACUAUUCUUCUCAGUACAAAGAAUUUGUAUUGGCAAUCAAUCUUUGAUAGAUAAAAGACACUAUUUUACUCCCAAGGUCGCAAAGCAAGAUAACAAGAAACCCCGCCGCCGUGCCUACAAACGUAUGCAAUACAAUUUUCGUUUUGUCUCCACCAUUGUUGGCUUUGGAGAGAAUAGAGGGCCAAACUCAUCGUAAAAGUUAACAUGAGGACUGAAGUAUGGUAGUUUUAGUAGGCGAAAUUCUGUUUCGAGCCUGUUGCCUUGUUAUGUUGAUCACGUUAUAGCUGUUAGGAAUCUCAGUCCAAUUUUUUUUUUUUUUGUUAGCAGAAGGGACAUUGAAUCAACCCAUUCUUAUUGCACUCCUUGCACUUGACAGUCUUCUUCCCUUUCUCAUCCAACACUUUGCAACUACCAUUGCAACCUAUGCACAUUACAAACCUGACCACUGCGCACCCAUUGCAGAUAGCAACUGCCUUCGGGAUCCCGCUGAAAACAGUGCCUAACUUACCAUCUUCCUCCAACUUCACUGUCUCGUCAGCCCCACCAAUCAAUCUUCCCUUGACAAAAACCAAGGGAACCUUCACUUCUUUUGUGCCCAUUAAUCCCCUCAAUUCAUCCUUGAAUCCUGAAUGCAUCGAUACAUCAUGCUUAAACAUCUGAACCUGAUGCGACUCGAUCACUGAUCUGGCUGUGUUGCAAUCCUCAAAUGUCUUCCUUAUACCCCUCAGCGUGGUCGUAUAGAGGACCACCGCAUUUUCACCACCCGGGGGGCAUUUUUCCUCGAAAUUUUCGAGAAUAGACACCGAGUCUUGGGAAUUCCUCUUCUUUACCGCGGUGGGCGUUCCUGAAACCAUCUUCUUGAUUCGGACAACUCUUUCUCGAAUGAUGCCACAAGUUUCUGGAUCAAACAGCGGGAUCCAGAAGUUCUAUCAUGUUCUCUAGGCCAGAGAAUUGGUUAGAGUCAUUGGACUGGAUGCUACAAUAUUCCGUUGGUGUCUAUUUCCAUUUGUCUUGUCCCUUGGCAUCUCUGCAAUCUUUAAAUCCCUCUUUAAUAUGCUUUCCCCCUAUUCCUUCUCCUCCUCUAACAACACCAAAGAGAAGCUCCCUCCAGGACCCUCUACCAUCCCAAUCAUCGGCAACAUCUCAUAGCUCGGCAAGUCCUUUUCAAAAUUAGAAUCCAUCCUUCAAAACUUGAAAGCCAAGUACGAUCUCCUCAUCACUUUCAGAAUUGGGUCUCGCCAUUUAAUAUUCAUCUGAAGUUCCUUGGCCCAUAGAACCUUCGUCUAGAAUGGCACCGUCUUCUCCAACUGCCCGAAAGCUUUUUGCAUUGCCUAAAUCUUCAAUAGCAACCGGCAUAACGUCGGCUCUCUUAUGGUCCACUAGGCAUUUUCCCCAUGGUGCUAUCUUUCUGGUAUUUCGUCAGUAAAAGUGCCCCAAUACUUUCUUCCUAAAAUAUCCCUAAAUGGCCUCCCAUGUAGGCGAGAAAAAAGAUAUUUUGGAUGGCACCGCCUAAUAGGUCCUUUCUUGGCACAGACAUUUUCCUUUAAGGACCAAUUGCGUAUAAAAAAACUUUGAAGGAUCAAAUCGGAAUUAGUUAAAAAGUUUAGGGACUAAAUUAGCGAUUUUUCCUAACAAGAAUCAUGGUUGUAACUAUUAUUAUAUUUACAUAAUUUUACCAGUAAAGUAUCAUCCUCCAUUUUCUCAAAACUCCCUAAAAUAUUUCCAGUUAGAUAACAAGAAUCAUGAUUGUAACAACUAGUAUAUUUGCAUAAUGUUACCUGUCCUUCCGGCCAAGUGCUGGUAAGAUGCUUCUAUCCUCCAUAUUUUCAACGUACCUAAGUUGAAAAUUGAAAUGUACCUUGGAAGACCGUUGUGGCAAUGACCAGGAAUCCUACCUAGGCAAGAAUGACCGUUAGUUUUGACCAAAUUUUAUUGGUGCGCGCGUGCAUGCACGUUCGAGCAAUGGAUCGAUUUUGAUUGGCGGCUUUAGUUUCAAAUUUCCAAUCUUAUAAAUAUGGAGUGCGGGCGCGCUAAGCACCUGCAUCGGUUAAGACUUAAGAGGGCUAAGUAACAGUAGCAGACACAUAUAAGCUGUAUACAUGGCCAAGUCCUUUUCCUACCUUCACCUUCUCAUGUUCUUCAUAAUAGUACUUCUAUCACUAGUAAUGCCUUGUUAUGGUGCUGAUCCAUCUCCAUUACAAGAUUACUGCAUCGCGGAUUUAAGUUCAGAUAUAUAUUUGAAUGGCU